UUUUUUCACAAUGUCGGACUCUAAUUGUCUCUAAGUUUUGGAGGCCCUGCAACAGCUCAACUGGAAACAACUUCUUCACCCUCGAACAAUAACUCAUAUGGAAUUUUUUAAGAGAAGAGAAGAUGGCAGGUGGUGUUGGAGCAUGAGAGGUAGAUUCAAUUUCAACCACUACUCCUAUUCCUACUCUCACAACUUCACGCAAGUUUCUCAACAAAAAUAGGCGUAACUCCUCAAUGUUGUCAAGUGCGUCACAAGACGAUAAUGACAAGUCAACCACACACUCUAUCCCUCUACAGUUCGUAAUUUGACAUUCCUUCCACUCAGUCACCUUACGAAACAAAGGAAUGUUGUUUAAACAUUUGAAAUCAUCGUACUUUUGAAUAGUUAAAGUUUGAAGGUCAUGUGGGACCACCCUAUCAUCACACCUCUCUAUCUCCGAACCUGUGAAUGUAAUCUGUUUCUUAAUUUUUUUGAAAUUUGGGCAACCCCAUAAAUCAAAACGCCAAUCCACCGAUGGUCCCCCCACUUGAAAAAAGAAAGAUGUAGGGCAUUUACCUUGUGUACACUCUGCGUAUUUAUUAAACUCUUGCACGUUGCGAAAUGAACAUUGAACCCACUCAAGCUUCCUCAAUUGGCCUACUUCUUCUCCCUUUAAAAACGUCUUCUCUAUUAUUAAGCAUUGGAGAUGACAGAUCCUCGGUAAUAUUCCUACCGGUAGCUCUUUUAAAGCCGUUGACCCCAUAAGAAGAUCUCUCAAGUUUUCUAACAUCUCUAUGCCAUGAGGAACCUCUUCAAUUCCUGUGCCCAAAAGGUUCAACUUUCUUAGUGCUGUGAGCUCUACUAAGGAAGGCACCUUUUUUAACUCCUCACAACCAGAAAGUAUCAAUGCAUUGAGAGUUUUCAAGUUAGAGAUCGAAUUGGGCAGAUAUUCUAAGGAACGAUUAUCUGAAAGAUUUAGAACUUUUAACCCAGACAUGUGCUUAAAAAAAGAUUCUGAAAUCCUUUCUAAGCCACAAUGUUCCAAAAUCAAAGUUGAUAAAUGAGGCCAUCUAGGUGAUAUGUGAGGAGGAAUUUCUAAUUUAAAAGUUUCCAUCAAGGAAACUUUCUCAACACUCACUGUCCAUUCUUGCUCACUUGGGAAUUCUUUCAAUGGCAUACCUGCUUUUCCCAUGAACUGAUGACCUGCAAUAUACAACGCCAUGUCCCUCAAAACAUCAUGCAUCUUAACUCCAUCAUUAUCAAUAAGAAAUGUAGCCCUCUCUAAUAGGCAAUUACUUUCAAGCUUAUUUAAAAUGCUAUAACCUCUAUGAUGCAUUGCUUCUUUGGUCUGUAAGCCAUCAAGGAGUCCCUCAUCUAUCCAAUUUUCAAUUAAUUCCACUUUUCUAAUUAUAUAAUCUUCAGGAUAUAGGGAGCAAUAUAAGAAACAAUUUUGGAUUUUUGGAUCUCUCAAAUGGUCAUAACUGAACUUCAAAGGCUCAUAUACUUCGAUAUCCAAUUCUUUCACACUUUCCACACGCUCUUCUAAUUCAAUUAGUGCAUUCUUCCACUCACAAAAAUCAUCUACCUCUUUCAUGCUACCGGCUAUUGUCACAAUACUAAGUGGUAAACCGCCACAUUUCUCAACAAUUUUGUCGACAAUGUCCUUUAAAUUUUGAUCUUGUACAACUCUACGCCCCACGUGAUCUAAGAAUAAGUUCAUGGACUCAUUCUUUGGAAGCAGUUGCACUUUGACCACCUCACAACCCAUAGACUUACAGACCUCAAUCGAUCUGCUAGUGAGUACAACUUUCCUUCCCAUACCUAAUGUUGGUUCAAGGAUUCCCAAAUCUAAUAGAGAAAAUCGUUUCCAAACAUCAUCUAAGAUCAACACAUAUCUCUUUUCCUCCAAAAUAUCCUUUAAUUUUGCAGCUCGUUGCAAUACAUCCGUUGGAAGAGCUUGUUUCAAAGAAUUUGCAAUAUCUUCUUGCAAUUUGAAAAUAUUCAAUUCUUUUGAUACGGUGACCCAUAUCACUUGAUCAAACAGAUUAUCCUUCAACAAUUGAUUAUUGAUAUGCUUCAUAAUGGUAGUUUUCCCUAUGCCACCCAUUCCACAUACUCCAAUCAUUCUAACCUUAUCACCCAUCAAAUACUUCCAAAUUUGUUCUUUUACAUCGAUUUCACCUUCUAGAUUUGGUGUUAGUAAUGUCACCCCAGUGGCUGGAGGCCCAUCAACUGCCACACCAUCAGGGAAACUACCUUGUUGGUAAAUUUUGUUUACCUUUUCAAUAUUUUCGCAAACAAAACUUCCUAGAUGACCACGUGACAAGAAUGAAACAGAACGGAACUCCUCUUCGAUGGUUUUCACUUCAUUGCCUACAUUUUCUACAUCUUUGAGCCAGUUCGCCACUUCUUUCUUCAUCUUUUUCCCACAACGUUCCUCUGCUUCCAUUUUUAAUUCAAGGUCUCGCUUUCGAGAAUUUAGACUAUUUACAUUUCCUCGAAGCUCAUUCAUAUAAUCUUCAAGUUUCCGAUGAUGAUUUAUGUAUGGACCCCCAAAGCUCCUUAUCACUUCAACAAAUGACAAUAUCCAAUCCAUAUUAUAAGCUCACUGCAAUUUAAAAACCCAACGUAUGUUAAGAUUCUUGCUUCACUUGUUAUGUUUGAGUAUAACAAAGAUAAAAUUGUUAAUGAAGCUUUGUUUCAAUGGUAAGGAAGAUGUGUAAGUUCGAUAUUACUUUUAUGCUAGUUAUUUAUUUAUUUAUUUUAUUGAUAAUUUGUUCAUUAUUUUUUACACUGAACGUAAUCAUUUGUUUUAUUAUGACUGUAAUUUGUACUUGUUCAUGUAAUAUAAAAAAAUAUAUAUAUAAAAAAGCAUUUUUGUUUUUAACUAAAAUUCUGAAUUUCUGGUGUUUGAUUAAUUAGUAAUGAGUUGUUUAAUUACUAUAUUUCUUAAAUUCUGUUUUAGAAUAUCGGGUGAAGCAUCUGUAAUACUUUUAUAAACCAUUACCAAAUGUUUUAUUCCUUCUACCUUAUUUUUUAUAUUUUCCUUCAAAAUUUCCUUAAUAUUCCACUUUCAAGCAAAACUAAGUAAAUAUAAACCAUAAAUAAUUAAUAAAUGAUUUAUUUUUCUUUCUCCCCUGUUGAUAACUAUCAAAAAUUCUUGGAUAUUAAUUACAUCAUCAAUAAAAGGAGGGAUAAAGAAGAAACACUAAUUUUCAAUAAAGAUAAACAUCAAAGGCACUAAAGAAUAUUAAUUAAUAUUUUUUUGAACAGUUCUAAAAAAUUUCAAUUAUGGAUUAAUAUAAUCUAAAUAUAAGUAAGGAAGUUUGUGAAAACAACAAUAUAUCCCACAAAGACAUUAAGAAAUAAUUGCAGGAAUAAAUUGUGAGAGUAAUGACCUUCAGGAUAUAUACCUGGCUUGUUCUUCAAAUUAUUCGGAAAGAUGAAACCCAAAGGUCAGUUAAAUGAUCCACAAACCUCCUUGUCUCUUUGUUAAGCACAACCUUCUUAGGCAGAAGAAAGAAGCUGGCAUAAAAUUAACAAGGAAAAUUAGUAGUGUUAAUAAAAGUGAAAAUCUAAUGUGGUAUAGUCUUCAGAGUUAUUUGCCUAAAUAAGAAAAUAGAGGACACAAAACAAAGAACCAAAAUAAUUAAGUGGAAGGAAAGAUGAUGAAUUUAAGAUUCCAGAAAACAUGAACCCAAAUCUAUAUUAAACAGUUUAAUUACCUGGUCAAGUGAGGUAGAUGAGGUGGUACUUGUAUCCUUAGAGGGUCUUAAGUCUGUGAAAGCAGGAAACUAAGAUCUCUGUUAAAUUUGUGAAGAAAACAGCAACAAGCAGAUCUCCUCCCAAACUAUUAUCUAUGAGAAGAAAAUGAAUAAUGAAGCACAUGAAUUAUUGAAAAGUGGACAAGGUAAAUAUUUAUGUGGAAACUAAAAUAAAUGCCCAACUUGUGUUGGAAGGUAUGGUAAGAUGAAUUUAUGUCAUAAGUUAAGAUUCUGAUUAAUUACUGCUACCAAAGAUAAACAUAAAUCACACAAAUAUAAACAGUUUACCUGGUUCACGGAGACAGUGAACUGAUUCUUCUGUCGUUAGAAGGUCUUUGUUAAAUUUGAGAAGCAAGCACACUCAGGAAAUAUAGCAGCAAUAAGCAGAUGAUCUCCGUGAGAAGAGAAUCGAUGAAUUGUGAAGCUAAAAGAAUUAAGAGCUGGCAAGUCAAUGCAAAGUCGUCGCACAAAUUGUACAUUCACUUUCCUUGAAGUUGUUUCACAGUAAUGCAAAUGUAAAUUCACUUUCCUUGAAGUUGUUUCACGGUAAUGCAAAUGUGAAUAGAAGAAAAACUGACAAAGUAGGACUGAAUUAUGGGGCCACUUGUCCUACUUUCCACUCCUUCAUUAUUGUCCUUCUUGUCUUCUGUUUGGCAAUAAUGCAAGUAUGAAUUUAACAGAUGCCCUGGAUUAAGAAACUUAUAACUUUAAUAGAAGUUUAUAAUUUAAGAAGUGAAUUAGUCUAACCAAAAAACUGAACAAUUAUUUUUUUGUUGCUGAUAACAAAGGUUUGAUUAUACACAGAAUGUAAUAAGUUAUGAUCUCCUAAAUUUAGUCCAUCUUAUAAGUGCUUGAAUUCAUAUAUACUAAUGUCCUCAGUCUUGAAUUCUUUUCUUAUUGCUGAUAACAAUGGUUUACUUAUGUUCAGAAUGAAAUAGGUUAUGAUCUCUUAAAUGGAGUCCAUUUUAUAAGGAGACAGGAAAGAAAGAGCCCUGUGUUUGAUGGCAGUGAGGCAACCAGAUUGAUUUUCCACUAAUUAGCCACAUCAGAUUACUAUGUAUAGCCACUAAGUCAAGUGAAGCAACGAUCUCCUAUCAAGAAAAUAACAAACAGCACAUCUCCUGGCAAAUUAACUCAUCUAUAAUGACAAGAGAAUGAAUUAAUAAUUUAAAAGUGGGCAAGUCAAUGCAAGUCAUGAUGUUGGUUUCGGGGUCACUUCCCUUAAAGCUGCUUUAAAAUAAAGCAAAUAGGAAUCGAAUAAAAGAUGAUAACGUGAGAGUGAAUACUGCUUCAUAUUUCUUAAAGACACAAUCAUGUAAGCUAUUUCGUUCAGUGCCUGGAUCAUAUGUAUGCACAUGUGCAUGCAUAGGACCAACUUUAAAACGAGCCCUGUCAAUCAUAGAUUAUAUCAUUCGUGAUAUAAUCUGAUGAAUAACAGGUGAUAUAAUCUGAUGAAUAACAGGUCAUUGCCAAUAUCACAAGAGUUAUUGAUAAAAACUAAAACUUGGGAAAUGUUGACAAGUAUUUGUAUAUUUAUACUAUACACAGAAAAGACUCAAGAAGGUCUUUGUUAAAUUUGAGAAACAAGCACAGUCAAGAAAAAUAGCGGCAAUAGCAACAAGCAGAUGAUUUCAGUGAGAAGAGAAUCCAAUAAUUAUGAAGCAAUAAGAAUUACAAGUCAGCAACUCAAUGCAAAGUCGUCGCAGAAGCUGUAAAGUAACUUCCCUUGAAGCUGUUUCACAAUACUGCAAAUGUGAAUUGAAGAAAAACUGACAAAGUAGGACUGAAUUAUGGGGCCUACUCUCCUCCAUCAUUGUCCUUCUUGACUUCUGUCGCGAUAAAGAAAAUAUGAAUUGAACAAAAACUGACAGACUAGUAUUAUUGUCCUCGCAACUUUCUUUCACAAGGGCACCCAUUUUUAUGUCCUAAGGCAAAGACCAAAAUUAUCUGGGAACAAUCAAAGAAAGUUGUAUGUCCUUUGCUACUUGCUAGCUAUCUUGACUAAUAUUGUAUGUAACACUUAUUAUUUUCUAUAAAUUUUUACAUAAUAACAAAUUUGAUGUAAAGUUCAUUAGUUAAUGGUACGUUAAUUCACUUGAUCGAUAACUAAUUAAAAUGUGAAAAGUGUAAUUUUAUUAAUUCCGUAGAAUUAUUUUAGUGAAGUUUCUAAGUAUAUCAUCUAAUCCGGUAUCUAGCAUCAUUAUUUCUACUUUUUUUUUUCCUUUUGUAUAAGUAUAUCGAUAACCAACAAUUAUUUUCAGGGUUGUUUAACAUACUAUGGCCACUGUCAUGCAUUGCUAUGUCUAGUCUAUAAUUCAUGGAGGAAUCCCUCCUCGGUUCAUUUCUCUAUUUUACUCUAUUCUUUCAAUUUUGCAGUCUUCAUGAUAUAAGAAGCAAUAGAAAAAAUAAUUUUGGAAUUUUGAGUCUUCCAAAUGAUCAAAAUUACACACACUACAACAAAUUUGACUUAAAACAGCACAUUUUAUAAAUGUGUUACUAAAAAUAUUUUUAAUAACACUUUUUUUAUGUUUUUUAGAACAGCUUUUUAGAUCUAAUUUUACUAUAUACAUUUUUAGAUGCAUUAUCAAUAAAAUGUAACAAUAGAAAUUAUAUACACUAACAAAUGUUGCAUUUUACUGUACAAAAAAUAUAUCGUCCAAACAAGUGUGGUUAAAACUUAAUUUUUUUGCUAUUACAUCAAACACUCAAAUAUUUCAACAUCUUAUCUUCUCACACUUUUGACCCGUUAAUUCAUUUAAUGCAUCCUUCCACUCACAAAUAUAUGUCAUUUACUCCAUGCUACCUAAUAUUGUCAGAAUGGCGUGUCUUUGCCAAAUACUUCUAAUAGGCCCUAACUGAUUAGGCAAAACAUAUCUUCAAAUUGGAAUAAUUAAGGGAUUGGACUUAUCUACAAGAACCAACAUCUGAAGUUGCAAGGAAUAUAAUCUUACUCCAAAAUGGAAUUUGUAAUUAUAGAGUCUUACAAAUGCUAAUUACAUAGCACAAAUUAAUGAUCAGAUAAUGCAGUCUUCCUAGAUGGAUGAUUUGAAUAUGAGAAUUAUGAGCUGAGUACAGUGGAGAUUUUUCCUCACAUUUUUCUAUAAUAUUAUUUAUGAGCAGCCUUAGCUUCAUAUAUUAUCAAUUAGUGCAUGGGAAGCUUUGAAGAACAUUAUGAGACAAUUAGUAAGUAUUCAUAACUAUAUAGAAAAGAAAGGAUAGCUUCUAUAUGAAGCAUUUUGCUUGCAAAAUACAUGCAGGGUGCCACAUGAUUGGAUAUUUCAGUUGUAUGGAUAUUUGAAGUCCUAGGAUAGCAAUUGUUUGGGAAGAAAGAAUUUCUGAGAAACUUUCCUCAAUGUUGACAGGGACUUUUCAUAUCAUCUGUUAUGACAAUUUGACUUCCACUAACCCUCACCACUUUCCCCAUUUUUUUGGGUAAUAAAAAGAAGUUGAUUUUUUCCAACUUAAAUUGAGGUAUUUGACAGGCUACUGAUGAUCUAAAAGACUUCACUAUCCAAUUGCAUGGGCCUCAGGGCACAAUUUGAACAUCAAAUACAAAAUUCAACCUGGUUGAGCUCCCAACUGUGUAAAGAAAAAAUCAAUUAAAUAUUGUUCAAUUCUUGCUUGUAACGUCUGCAGAUUGUAUAUGAGACUGAUGGAGUAAUAAAUAUGUCUAACCCAGAGAAAUCAUGGAUUAAUCAACUCGUUCUUUUAAAAGGGAAGGCAUCACAUUAGUUCAUCUACUAACUAAACCUUUACAAGCGGAAUAUUGGAUUAAAGUUAAAACAAGGGAUCUCUCUUUGAUAUAAACUAGUCCUAAAGAAUUUAUAGGAUAAUUGAGAGAUUGAAUACUGAAAUUGAAGAAGUCCAAACUUUUGUUUGGCAUAUAUUCAUAAACCAGCAUCUUUUCCUCUCCUUCAAUGCAACAUCCCAGGAGCUUUACAAGAUUUCGAUGUUGAAGCUUGGCAAUUAGUGCUACUUCAUUUUUGAACUCAGUUAAACCUUGUCCAGAGCUUCUUGAAAGCCUCUUCACAGCGAUCUCUUGUCCAUCUACCAGGUUACCCUGAAAAAAAUGUACUUUAAAGAGUUGUAACUUUGUUCUAAACAUACUUCAUACUUUGUCUUCUGAUCAAUUUCACCAGAAUGUUGCAAAUUUACCCUGUAUGCAUGCCCAAAACCACCUUGUCCUAGUUUGUUGUCAAUGGAGAAAUCAUUGCUUGCUUCGGAUACUAAUGAUAAGUCGAAUAACUGGACUUCUGAGUCUUCGCUUUGCCCUUCAGUGCUCCUGUCCUUUAUCACAUGGUUUUCUCUAGCCCCUGAAACAUUUUAGUACAUACUAACAUUAGCCAUAGAAGGCUAUAUCAUGUUGGUCAAUUGUAUUUCUGAACAGACUAGGGAAGUUGGUAAUUAGUAUUCUAAAACAUAGUGAAAACAUGAUUUGUGAAAGCAAAUGGAUCAGAUAGUGUUACCUUAUAAACAGCUCCAAAACCACCUUCCCCUGGCUUGUUGUCCAUAGAAAAGCUAUGAGUAGCAAGCGCAAAUAUUGCAAGCUCCAAGUCUUCAUCCAGGCCUUGAUUUUCUGAAUCAUUUUCCUUAUUGUUUUCUGUUUCUCUGAAAUAGUAGUCAAAAUAGGCUUUUUAUUCACCAUAAAAUAUGCAUUCUAAUUGAGCUAGAUAACUGAACAUAAAACUCAUUUUUCACACCAAUAAGCAUUGAAAACUACUUAUUUUUUGAGAAAAAAAAAACAUUAUUCCAAUGAACUGGCAAACAAUCUAAUUUACUUCUUUUGAAGAAACUGCAUGUGGAUAAGUGGAUUAGGUAGCAUCACUAUUAACAAGGUAAUUUUUUUUGUUUAUUUAGCUAAGGAAUUGAAUGACAUAUUUGUGAAGGAUAUGUCAAAAUUACCUUUCAACUUUCUGCGGACUCUGUAAAUGUAAUAACUGAUUAUAAACAGCCCCAAAAGUGCAACACAGCGGUUUUGCAAUAGAUGCAACAAGCUUCAACCUUGGCUUAUCGCAUCCAAGCUUGGCUUUCUGCAUUCCAUGUGUAGCCUUGUAUCAUCAGUUUGGUUAGGAGCAAGUCCUGUGAUCAAUGAUUUCUAUUUGAGACAUUUUGGAUGGUUGACAUAUAAAAUACAAACACCAGGUGGGUUGAUCAUGCAUUGUUUUUAUGAGAUGAUGUGAUUGACUGACUCUUGAUCAAUGAACUGUACACAAAGUGCAGCAGAAAACAAUUUAUAAACAUUGAGAUUCCAGAUAAUUACUUGUAUUGAAUAAUUUCCAAUUCAUCAACCAUUUCACACCAGUAGACAUUUUCAUUAAAAGCACAAGGCACAAGCAUCAGCUGGGAAUGCAAUUACUUGAUUAUUAAAACAUAACUCAAAGCAUAGUCUUACGAACAGUAUAUAAACAGAGUUUGUAGCAUGGGAGAUGUGAGGAUACAACUCCCUAACCAACCUUUAACAUCGAUAUGGUUAUUUCAUUCUACAUGCCCACAGCAAAUGGAAAAGGAAACAAUAAUGUCUAAUCAAUCUUACUUGUUCAACAAGGAUUUGAAGGAUAACAGCUAAAUCAAUAAAUUGGCGUUGAAUUAAGUUAUAAGAUUUUGAUCACAAACAGAGGAAGUCCUCUCAUAAAUGAAUCAAACAAUAUUUAUGGCAAGUGAGGCAUGCUUGGUGCUGUUAAAGAUUUGCUUAUGAUUGAAUAAUCCUAUUAACUACUAACUUGUUCAUAAUGUUUUUAAACUAGCAUUUUUUAAAUAAUGCUAGUUUAAAAUAUGACCAUAUAUAUAUAUAUAAGAAAAAGAAUACUAUGGACCCUAAAUAUUACUUUAAUCAUUUUAUUAUAUCUUUUAACAUUUUAAUUCAUAAUAAUUUAAAGAUUUUAUUUACGUGUUAGAGUUCUCUUAUUAUUUUAUUUAUGUAUAUAGAUUUUUUUUCUUUUUAAAUUUGAAAAAAAUUUCAAACCUGGCUUGUAAUAUGUCAGUGAAAAAGAAAAUAAAGGGAUGUAGGCAAAGAGCUUAAUUAACUCUUUUGAAGAAACUGCAUGUGGAUUUGCUAGCAUCAAUAUUAACAAAGUAAUUAUUUUUUUGUUUAUUUAGCAAAGAAGCAAAAUAAGCAUAUUUGUUAAGGGUAUAUCAAAGUUACCGUUCAACUUUGCAUUGCCUCUGUAAAGGUAAUGACCGACUGUAUACAACCCCGAAAGCACAGCAUAGUGGUGUUGCAAUUACUGCAGGAAGUUUUAUCCUAGGCUUAUCUUUCAAUUCUGUAUGGCGAAAUUUGAUAAGGAAAAGCAUACAUGAACAAAAAUGAAAAAAGCAGCGAAAACAAGAGAAAAUGCAGACUCAUACCUGAUUCUGAAGCAGACACUCUUAACAUAUAGAUCCUGCCCUUUUGAUUCAAAUUGUCUGCAAUCAAUCAGAUUAUCAAACCAAAGGGCCCAACCACUACCUCUUCCUCUAUUAUCUGAACUAGUGUAUGCCAUAUAGGAAUAGUUCUGUAGAUACUUAGCCCUGCAUCCCUUGAGAUUCAUAGUUUUAGUCACCCAAGAAUGUGUAGCAUCUGGCAUUUUUAAAUCCUUUAAAUCUAAUAAAUCCAUCUCUGCUUUGGCAGUUGAAUGGCUUGUUGUGCUUACACCCUUGGCACCAGUCUGAUGAGUUCUGUCUUUUAGGGAAUUCAGGCUUAAACAUCAGCUUUCAGGGAAUUAAGGCUUGAAUCCUUUAAAAAGUGGAAGCUGAGCACCAUCACAAUUCCCUUUUGAACCACAAAGUCCAUAUCUAUCAAAGUAGUCUCUUGAAGCAAAUGACAGAAGCAUCCAAGCUUGCUUUCUGCAUUUCAUGUGUAGUCCUGUGAUCAAUGAUUUCUAUUUGAGACACUUUGGAUGGUUGACAUAUCAAAUAGAAAUGCCAGGUGGGUAGAUCAUGCGUUGUUUUUAUAAGAUGAUGUGAUUGACUGACUUUUGAUGAAUGAAGCAUACACAAAGUGCAGCAGAAAACAAAUUAUAAACAUUGAGCUUCCAGAUAAUUUGUAUUUCUCAAUAAUAUGAAGCUUAUUCCUCUAAUCAUUCUCUUCAUUGGACGAACAUAACUUCAAUGACUUACUUGUAUUAAAUGAUUUCCAAUUCAUAAACCAUUUGAGACUUUUUUUUCUCACAUCUGAUAGGUUGCAGGAUAGUCCCAAGAAUUGAUCACCAAGUUCAACAGGGUGCCUUCCUUCCUCCCAUAAUCUCCGAGCCUGCAGCAAAUUGAAAACCUUUUAGUCAUUUUAUUAUAUCUUUCAACAUUUUAAUUCAUAAUAAUCGAAGUAUUUUAUUCAAGCGUUAGAGUUUUAUUUAUAGUAGUAAUUAAUUAUUAUUAUUAUUUUUGUAGAUAGAGUGUGUUUUUUUUUCUUUCAAAAUUUGAAAAAAAUUAAAACCAAGUUUGAAAAAUGUGAGUGAAAAUGAAAAUAAAGGAAAGAGAUGGGCAGGUGUAAUAGGAGGGGAUGUAGGAGGUGUUAGAUGGCAAUUGGUGGAGAAAUGCAGAUUGAAGGGUGUUGAGUUUUAGAUUUUGGUAUUAUUCAUAAAACUAAAGACUUGGUUUUGUUUUGAUAUUAAAAAAAAGUAAUUAUUUAGCAAAUGAGAAAUUAAGAGAUAAAAACUCACAAUUAAUGUUUGUGGUUCUUAACAAGAAGCAAGAGCCUUAUAGCCACAUUUAAUCAAACACCUCUUCUCCAUCUCACUCUACCAAUCAAAAUAUCGAAGAAAGGGAGAAAGGACAUUCUUAGUGUGCUAUCCAACAACCCACAUCUGAUGUGAAUGCGAUUGUUAAGACCUAUAUAACAAUUCAAGUUCACCAUUACUAGCAACUUGAGCUUAAACUUUUGAGGGCUACGUGGUUUAGGCCCAAAAAGUUACUAGGCCAAUGGUUGGACUUGGGUCGUUACAAAUGGUAUCAGAACUUGCACCAGUCCGAUGUGAACUUUCACAUUGCUCUGGUGAGAUCUUGGUCCCGUGGAUGUGAUGUGUGGCCUUGAUGAGGACAUCAAGGAUUUGAGUGGGUGGGAUUGUGAUAUCCAACAUCCUACAUCUGAUGUGAAUGUGAUUGUUAAGACCUAUAUAACAAUCCAAGUCCACCAUGGACUUGGGUCGUUACACUUAGCAUCAAGUUGAUCCCAUUCCACUGAUUCCCACCAUUCUCUCGGGCCUAUUCUAAUAUAUUCUAGAGAAGGAGGAGAUGGUUUCCCAUUUUCAACAAGGGGAAGAGACAAAGGGAUCCUCUUUACUUCUGGACAUCUCUCUAUUUGAAGAUAUUGGAGAGAAUCUGCAGGAAUCAUAAGUCCACCACUGUAAAUGCUUUUCAGUUUUGGUAAAUUUCCCAAGAUUAAUGAUUUUAAUUUGGGAAGAAUAAAUGUUGUUCCUUCUUCUUUGUGAUUUUCUUCUAACGCUAUUAUUUCCUCCAUUUCUUCACAACAUUCAACGAAAAUUUUCUCUAAGUUUGGGAGGCCUUGCAACUGCUCAACUGGAAACAACUUCUUCAUCUUCGAACAAAAGCUCAUCAUCAAUAAUUUAAGAGAAGAGAAGAAGGUAGGUGGUGUUGGAGCAUGAGAGGUAGAUUCAAUUUCAACCGCUACUCCUACUCGUACUCUCACAACUUCACACAAGUUUAGCAAGUCAAGUAGUUGUAGCACCUCAAUGUUGUGAAGUGCGUUGCAAGACGGUAAUGACAAGUCAACCACACACUCCAUCCCUUCACACUCCGAAAUUUGACAUUUCUUCAAGUCAGGUGCCUUACGAAACAAAGGAAUGUGGCUUAAACAUUUGAAAUCAUUACACCUCGCAAAACAAAAAGUAUGAAGGUCAUUUGGGAGCAUUAUUUCAUCACACCUCUCUAUCUCCAAAUUUGAGACAUCAACCAUUUUCUCAAUUUCUUUGAAAUAUGGGGAAUGCAUAAUAUGAAUAUUACUAGGUGGUCCCACUUGAAAAAUGAAAGACAUAGGCCAUUUACCUUGUGUAGACUCUGCAUAUUUCUUAAACUCUUGCAUGUCACAAAUGAACAUAAAACACACUCAAGCUUCCUCAAUUUGCCUACUUCUUCCCCCCUUAAAUUUAACUGUACUAGUAAGCAUUGCAGAUGAGAAAUCUUCAGCAAUAUUCCCAUUGGUAGCUCCUUUAGAUCGCUUGACCGUAGACCAAAAUAUCUAAGGUUUUGUAACAUUUCUAUACCCUGAGGUAACUCUUCAAUUUUUGUAUUCCAAAGGUCCAAGUUUCUCAGUGCUUUGAGCUUUGCUAAUGAAGGCACAUAUUCUAACCUGAGACAAUAAGCAAGCAUCAAUGCAUUGAGAUUUUUCAAGUUAGAGAUGGAAUUAGGUAAAUCCACAAUCUCAUGAUUACGAGAAAGAUCUAGAACUUUUAGCCCAGGCAUGUGCUUAAAGAAAGAUUCUGGAAUUCUUUUUAAGCCACAUUGUUGCAAUAUCAAAGUUGACAAAUGAGGACAUUCGGGUGAUAUGUGAGGAGGGAUUUCUAUUAAUUUUGAAUUUUGCAUCAAAGAAACCUUUUCAACACUCACUGUCCAUUCUUGCUCACUUGGUAGUUCCUCCAACUGCACAUUGGCUUUUACUAUGAACUGAUGACCUUUAAUAUACAAUGCCAGGUCUCUCAAAACAUUAUGCAUCUUAACUCCUUUGUCAUUCCAAGUUGUAGCCCUUUCUAGCAAGCAAUUAUUUUGAAGCUUAUUUAAAAUGCUAUGGCCUCUAUCAUGCACUUCUUGUCUAGUCCUUAAGCCAUCAAGGAGUCCUUCAUCUAUCCAAUUUUCAAUUAAGUCAACUUCUUCAAUCACAAAAUCUUCAGGAUAUAAGGAGCAAUAUGAGAAACAAUUUUGAAUUUUUGGAUCUUUCAAAUAGUCAUAACUGAACUUCAAACGCUCAAAUAUUUCAACAUCUGAUCCUUUCACACUUUUCACACGCUCUUCUAAUUCAGUUAAUGCAUUUCUCCACUCACAAAUAUCAUUUACCCCCUUCAUGCUUCCAGCUAUUGUGACAAUGUUAAGUGGUAAACUGCCACAUUACUCAACAAUUUUGUUGACAAUGUCUUUUAAAUUUUGAUCUUGUACAACACUAUGCCCCACAUGUUUUAAGAAUAAGUUCGUGGACUCUGUCUUUGAAAGCGGUUGCACUUUGAUCACCUUACAAUCCAUAGAUUGAUAGACCUUAAUCGAUCUGCUAGUGAGUACAACUUUCCUCCCCAUAUCUAUUAUUGGUUCAGGGAUACCCACAUCCAAUAGAGAAAACCGUUUCCAAACAUCGUCUAAGAUCAAAACAUAUCUCUUUCCCUCCAAAAUAUCUUUUAAUGCUGAUGCUCGUUGCAAUUCAUCAUCUUUUAAAAGAGAUUGUUUCAAAGAAUCUGCAAUAUCUUUUUGCAAUCUAAAAAUAUUCAAUUCUUUUGAUACAGUGACCUAUAUCACUUUAUCAAAGUUCUCACUUUCCUUUAACAAUCGAUUGUUGAUAUGCUUCAUGAUGGUAGUUUUCCCUAUACCACCCAUUCCACAUACUCCAAUCAUUCCAACCUUAUUACCCAUCAAAUACUCCCAAAUUUGUUCUUUUACAUCGAUUUCACCUUCUAGAUUUAGUGUUGGUAACAUCACCCCGGUGGUUGGAGGCCCAUCAACUGCCACACCGUCGGGGAAACUACCUUUUUGGUGAAUUUCCUCUACCUUUUCAAUCAUUCGGCAAACAAAUUUUCCAAGACGACCACGUAAGAAGCAUGAAAUAGCAUGGAACUUGGAUUCAAUCUUUUCCAUUUCAGUGUUUACCUUUUCUACAGCUUCAAACAAGUACUCCACUUCUUCCCUCACCACUUUUCUGUGACGAAGCUCCUCUUCCUUUCUUGAUAUGAGGUCUCUUUUUUGGAUAUUUAAAACAUUCACUUUUUCUCGAAGAUCAUUCAUAUGUUCUUCAAGUUUUCGUUGAUGGUGUAUAUAUGUACAGGUUGGACCACCAAAGCACUUUAUCACUUCAAAAAUUGGCCCUAUAAGCUCCAUAUAAGCUAUUCCCUAGAGAUUAAAAACCAAGAUAUAUUAGAUCUCCAUAUGACAUAAGCUACUCCGUCCCUCCCUAAACUACAAUUCUAUAUUUUUCAUAUAAUAUAGAAUAUGUUAGAAAAAAAUGUUACUAAUUAAAAUUUUUUUACCAAUUCUUAAGAAAAAACAUAAUAUUUUUGAAAACAUUAUUAAAAACAAGAAGUUUUUGUUUCAUCAUCUUUGAGUAUAAUAUUUACAUUUCCAACAAUAUUUAUAUCUAGAUGAAUGUAUUCAUUUUUCCCCUUAAAAAACCAUCGCAAAUUCUUGAAUAUAUUAUAUCUAUAUGGUUCCUAGUUUUGAUCAUUACAACAUUAAUAAAAGGAUGAUGAGAAUGGAGAAAUCAAUUUACUAUAAAUAUAUAAAUGACAAAAUUUUUUAUAAAAAAAGGAAUCCAUUUAAAGUUGAUAACUUGCGUUUCUAACAUGUAUACAUAUUAAAUAAAUGUACCUGUGAAAGAAUCACAGGUACUAGACGAAAAGUAUCCAGUUCUUUAAUAUAUUUAUUUAAAUUGUAUUAUUCUGUAUGACAGAUUCUCCUUUCAAGUAUUCUGUUAUAAACUUUUGAAAUUAAUCUGAAUUUAUAAUUUACAAAGAGAAAAUUAUGUACCCUAGUCUUGAAAUCUUUCCUUGUUGCCGAUAUAGAAAGAUUUGACAAUGUACAUAAUGACAUGAAGUGCCCUGUUUUUUGAUGGAGCUUUAGCAUCAAACUUCAAUUAGCUGAGUUAACCAGAUUGUUAGUUCCUUGAUUGAUUUUCCAAUUAACGAGCCAUAUCAGAAUAUUAGACUUGAGAAAUGGAAUUUUGACUUCUAAGGUCCUAAAAAAGAUUAAUUCACAAAAUACAUAAAAAUAAAAUGUACAAGAUGACGAUGAAAAUCAUUUGUGUAAAGAUAUUGAUGCUGUAUGACAUAUAAUUUUGCUUUUGGUCAAAUAUUGAAAUAUCGUAAGGAACAACGCGUUGAGCUUCCAACAAUGUGUCAGUCAUUUCAUUGGUUGAAGAAGACUUUAAAUGUUUUAACCCCAAAUUACUAUUCAUAACACGUUUUCAUUAAAUAUAUCAGAGAUCAGCUUUUUUCGUUUUGUCCCAAUUUUCUUGGUUUUCACUUUUCAGUGAAUUAAAGACCUAAAAAAUCUUUGUCAUCAAUGGAUAACAUCAUUGGUGAUUACAUUCGAGCCUUCUAUUAAGUUUAUGUAGCAAAUACAAAUAAGUAAUGGCUUAUCAUGCAUUUUUAGUUUUGUUAUGAUGUGAGGAUUAUAUGAGUCUUCCUCAAUGAAACAUCUGAAAAAGUGCAUGAGAAAAAAAUCAAAACAAUUUACAACUGAUGAGAUUGCACAUUACUCUUUUUUCUGAUUUAUAUGAAGCUUCAGUGCAAUCAUCUUGUCAAUUCUUUGUGAGACAACUAUAGAUAACAGUACCCCCAAAAAGGCACUUGCAGGGUGCUAAGCUUAAACUGGGACUGAACCGUUGGUAUCAAUGCAUAAGGUACAAAACAUACUGAUCAUCCACAGCAUCUAAUAAUGGCUUGGAGAUGAAAGAGUUAAGUAUAUAAUAAUCUGAAAAUUAUAUUUGUUAAUUUUUGUUAAUUGUUAAGUUUAUUUAAAAAUUGAGAUUAUUAUCAUUAUUAAAUUAUUUAUAAUUAUGCUAGUUAAUUCUUUUAAGUAAAUUAUUAAAAAUGAUUCCUUUGAAUAAUUUUCAGAAUUUAUUUAUAUAAUUUUCAUAUAAAUUUUUUCCAUUAAGUUGUUUUAUAUUUUUAGCAAACGUUGGACUUCUCGUUUGAAUGUUUUAUAGACAUUAUCUUCAACUCUUCGCCUCCUCAAACGCCAAAAUACAAACUCAGCCACUGCAUAUAACCACUGCAGAACAUUAUCAAAAGCAAUAAAUAUGUGAGGAUUUGUAGACAUUAUGAAAAUAAAGUGACAUUUACUAAGUACCAACCACUCUUUUUCCCAUCAGUUUGGUCUCCUCCAAAAGUUCUAGCCAGUCCAAAACCUGAAAUUUUUGGAUUCAUAUCACUACCAAUCACAACGUUACUAGCUUUGAGAUCUCUAUAAAUAAAAAAAAACUUUCGAUUUGCUAGCUUUACUAUUAACAAAGUAAUUUUUUUUUUGUUUAUUUAGCAAAGGAACGAAAUAAGCAUAAUUAUGAAGGAUAUAUCAAAGUUACCAUUCAACUUUGCACGACCUCUGUAAAGGAAAUGACUGACGCUAAACGGCCCGAAAAGCACAACACAGUGGUGUUGCAAUUAAUGCAGGAAGUUUUAUCCUAGGCUUAUCUUUCAAUUUUGUAUGAUGAAAUUCGAUAAAGAAAAGCAUACAUGAAGAAACACAAAAAAAGCUGCGAAAUCAAGAAAAAAUGUAGACUCAUACCUGAUUCUGAAGCAGACACUUUAACAUAUAGAUCCUGCCCUUUUGAUUGAAAUUGUUUGUAAUCAAUCAAAUGAUGAAACCAAAGGUCCCAACCACUGCCUCUUCCUCUAUUAUCUGAACUAGUGUAUGCCAUAUAGGAAUAGUUCUGUAGAUACUUAACCCUGCAUCCCUUGAGAUUCAUAGUUUUAGUCACCCAAGAAUGUGUAGCAUCUGGCAUUUUCAAAUUUCUUAAAUCUGAUAAAUCCAUCUCUGCUUUGGCAGUUGAAUGGCUUAUUGUGCUUACACCCUUGGGACCAGUCUUAUGAGUUCUAUCCUUCAGGGAAUUCAGGCUUAAACAUCAUCUUUCAGGGAAUUAAAGCUUGAAUCCUUUAAAAAGUGGAAGCUGAGUACCAUCACAAUUCCCUUUUGAACCACAAAGUCCAUAUCUGUCAAAGUAGUCUCUCGGAGCAAAUGAGGAAAGCAUCCAAGCUUGCUUUCUGCAUUUCAUGUGUAGUUAUGUUAUCAAUUAUUUCCAUUUGAGACACUAUGGAUGGUUGACACAUAAAAUAGAAAGACCAGGCUGGUCGAUCAUCCGUUGCUUUUAUAAGAUGAUGUGGUUGACUGACUUUUGAUGAAUGAAGUAUACACAAAGUGCAGCAGAAAACAAAUUAUAAACGUUGAGGUUCCAGAUAAUUCGUAUUUCUCAAUAAUAUGAAGCUUAUUCGUCUAAGCAUAAUAUAUAUAUUUAGAGUAACCACACUAAUCAUAUCAACUUAAACUUACUCAUAAUUUGCAUGCAACAUAAAAUCACCAAAUCUUAUAUAGAUAAUUUAAACUAUUAAUCUUGUUUAAUUAUAUAUGUAUUCAUCAUUUGAAGUGCUUUAAAAUAUUAAUCAUGAUUAAUUUCAAUAUCUUGGUAUUGAUACAUCACUUCCCAAAUAUGCUUUCCUUUUUUCUUUUUUUCCAUAUAUAGACACUCUUUAAUUAGGAGAUUGUAGCCAGCUAGAUACCAUUGUUGCCAGUCCAAGAGGUGACACUUUGGAGGUUGAAUAGCAUUUUAUUUUCGGGUUUUUUAGUCUUGAGAUGAGUGGCAACAUUAAUUCCUUUGGAUCUGUUGAAUUAGCUUUUGUAUAUAAAAGAAGGUAUCCCUCCUCAAACAUGGCAGAUCCCCUUUCAAACCCAUUAUUUUAAAGAAAAGAAAAUGCUAAUUUAAUAGAAUAGUUGCCAACUAGGGACAAGCUCCAUUGAUGUGACAUUAAUUUUGGUAUAUUCUAACACUUGUUGACUAGAUUCAAUUGGACAGGAUUUUUAAUUUGGAUGAAAUUUAAGGGUAGUGAUUAAACAAUGGAAGUGACAUUGGAGGUUCUAAGUCCCUUUCACCUAAGGGAGAAAUGAGUUUGUUCAAUUGACACAGCUUUGGUACAUACAGAAAGUAAGCUAAUACCAUAGCCAUAUUUCUCAGGUGACUUGCAACAAAUUUGAGACUGAAGUAUGGCAAAAUAUUGGGUAUUUGUAUAAAUUACAAUACAAAUAAAGAAAAAAAAUGAAAGAGACUAAAUAGAAAGGGGAAGUGGAAAGGUCCCCAAAAUCAAUUAAUUGCAAGUGGAAGGAGCAAAGCCCAACUUUGUUGGCAACAAGGUCAUGUUCCCGCAGAUGAUUUUGUUGCAGGGUGUUGUAAAUGAUAUUUACUUCCAGGCUCUGUCUUUUGGCAAAUAGAAGCUGAUAAUGGUUCUCUGGAUCAAGCUCAAAUAUAGCUCCAUCUUCAAUAUGAAUUGCAAAUCCUGGCACUGAUGAGAAAAUCAAGCCUUGUUAUUGCUUUUAAUAAAAGCAAAUAAAAUUUGAAGGGUGUUCAGUUGGGCAAUUACUAGUUCCCAAGUAACAGUUUUAACUGCUACUUUCUUUUACCAAAUUCCCAAGAAACUAUUCUUAGAGCUUCUAGGACUAAGGAACAGACUGGGAGGAGGUGAAGAUAUCGAUUCCAUCAGUAAAACAGUGUUGGUGAACAUGAAAGACAGAAUGUCUUUUUGUUUCAAAUUUCAGAGCUUGUAAGAACUCAUAGAAAAACUUUUCAGUUUGGCAGAUUUUAGAGAGCAAACAUGUUUAAACUGAUGAUCGUUGACUAGUAUGCAAGUCUUCCUUGAAAAGACCAAACUUUUCAGUUUGCGGAGAACUCUUAUUUCUAAUUUUUAUGAUGCUUCAGUGUAGUCAUCUUGUAUUGUCUCUGCGAAUCAUAUAUAUAUACAUAUGACCCCCAAGCAGGCACUUGCAGGGCAUUAAGCUCAAACUGGGACUAAACCACUGGUAUCAAAGCAUAAGAGACAUAAACAUACUGGUCGAUAACUUUUAAUAAUGGCUUGGAGAUGAAAGAGCUAAGUAUACAGUUUGUCAAUUAUCGAGCAUCUAGUACUGACAGAGUUAUUUCAUUUGUGGAAGAAGAUACAUGCUUGUCUGAUGAAGAAUCUUCUUCAAGUGGAUUUUUUUAAAACAAAAUACCAGCUUGUUUGGGGUGUGGCAAUUCAGUUUCACUUCCCAACAUCAGAAUCACAAAUGACGUACUUGGCCUCUCCUCAGGAUGCUGUUGUAAACUUAAAAGACUGAUAAUGGAAGUAUUGUAUCACUUCUGAUAGAUUGCAAAGACUCUCCUAAGCAUUCUUCAACAGGUUUUAAAGGACUGUCUUAUUUCCAUAAUCUCCAUGCCUGCAGCAAAUUGAAACCCUUUUAGGUUUUAUCAAUCCAAGAUAAGCAACAAAAAAUUGAUUAUAAAAAUAUCUGCUGAAACUGACAUGUUCAACAAGGUUGCCGCUCUGUGAUGGAUGGUAAAGCCCUCUAUAUUUUCUUCCCACUUAUUAUCUCCAGCAAUAAUAUACCAAAGCUAAAGAGAUCUGAUUUUACUGAAAGCAGUCCAACAAUAGCAUAUUCAGUGCCAUAUAACCUCUGCAGAACAUUAUCAAGAGAAAUAACUAUCUGAGCAUAUGUAGACAUUAUGAAAAUAAAGUGACACUUACUAAGUUCCAACCACUCUUGCAGUGUUCCCUUCAGUUUGGUUUCCUCCAAAGUUCUAAGCAAUCCAAAAUCUGAAAUUUUUGGAUUCAUCUCACUAUCAAGCAGAACGUUACUAGCUUUGACAUCUCUAUGAAUGAAAAAAAACAUAUUCAAAUGAAAUGGCAAAGAAUCUAAUUAACUCUUUUGAAGAAACUGUGUUUGGAUUUGUUAGCAAAGGAACAGAAUAAGCAUAUUUGUGAAGGAUAUAUCAAAGUUACCAUUCAACUUUGCACGACCUCUGUGAAGGAAAUGACUGACAGUAAACAGCCCGAAAAGCACAACACAGUGGCGUUGCAAUUAAUGCAGGAAGUUUUAUCCUAGGCUUAUCUUUCAAUUCUGUAUGAUGAACUUUGAUAAAGAAAAGCAUACAUGAACAAAAACAAAAAAAGCAGCGAAAACAAGAGAAAAUGUAGACUCAUACCUGAUUCUGAAGCAGACAUUAUUAACAUAUAAGUCCUGCUCUUUUGAUUGAAAUUGUCUAUAAUCAAUCAGAUGAUGAAACCAAAGGGCCCAAACACUACCUCUUCCUCUGUUAUCUGAACUAGUGUAUGCCAUAAGGGAAUAGUUCUGUAGAUACUUAGCCUUGCAUCCCUUGAGUUUCAUAGCUUUAGUCACCUAAGAAAGUGUAGCAUCUGGCAUUUUCAAAUCUUUUAAAUCUGAUAAAUCCAUAUCUGCUUUGGCAGUUGAAUGGCUUAUUCUGUGCUUACACCCUUGGGGUCAGUCUGAUGAGUUCUAUCUUUCAGGGAAUUCAGGCUUAAACAUCAGCUUUCAGGGAAUCAAGGCUUGAAUCCUUUAAAAAGUGGAAGCUGAGUACCAUCACGAUGCCCUUUUGAACCACAAAGUCCAUAUCUGUCAAAAUAGUCUCUUGGAGCAAAUGAGAAAAGCAUCCAAGCUUACUUUCUGCAUUUCAUGUGUAGUCCUGUGAUCAAUGAUUUCUAUUUGAGACACUUAGGAUGGUUGACAUAUAAAAUACAAAUACCAGGUGGGUAGAUCAUGCGUUGUUUUUAUAAGAUGAUGUGAUUGACUGACUUUUGAUAAAUGAAGUAUACAGAAAGUGCAGCAGAAAACAAAUUAUAAACAUUGAGGUUCCAGAUAAUUUAUAUUAUUUAAUGAUUUGAAGCUUAUUCCUCUAAUCAUUCUCUUCACUGGACAAACAUAACUUCAAUGACUUACUUGCAUUAAAUGAUUUCCAAUUCAUGAACCAUUUGAGACCAGUGUGGAUGUGUUGUCUCACAUCUGAUAGGUUGCAGGAUAGUCCUAAGAAUUGAUCACCAAGUUCAACAGGGGUGCCUUCGUUCCUCCCAUUAUCUCCAAGCCUGCAGCAAAUUGAAAACCUUUUAGUCAUUUUGUUAUAUCUUUCAACAUUUUAAUUCAUAAUAAUCAAAGAAUUUUUGAAACAUGCGAGUGAAAAUGAAAAUAAAGGAAACGGGUGGGAAGGUGUAAUAGGAGGGGAUGUAGGAAAUGUCACAUAGCAAUUGGCGGAGAAAUGCAGAUUGAAGGGUGUUGAGUUGGAGAUUUAUUUUUAUAUUAAAAAAUAAAAAAUUAAAGACUUGGUUUUAUUUUGAUAUUAAAAAAGAGUAAUUAUUUAGCAAAUGAGAAAUUCGGAGAUAAAAAUAAACUCACAAUGUUUGUUUGCAGUUUUUAAUAAGAAGCAAGAGCCUUGCAACCACAUUUAAUCAAACACCUCUUCUACAAUUCAGACAUAAAGCUAGCCUUGUACCAUCCAAAAAAUAUUCAACAAAGGGAGAAAGGACAUCCUUAGCAUCAGGCUGAUCCCAUUCCACUGAUUCCCACCAUUCUCUCGGCCAUACUGUGAUUCCUUUUAGAGAAGGAGGAGGAGAUGGUUUCCCAUUUUCAACAAGGGGAAGAGACAAAGGGAUCCUCUUUACCGCUCUACACCCCGAUAUGACAAGAUGUUGGAGAGAAUCUGCAGGAAUCAUAAGUCCACCGCUACAAAUGCUUUUCAAUUUUGGUAAGUUAAUCAAGAAUAAUGAUUUUAAUUUGGGAAGAAUAAAUGUUGUUCCUUCUUCUUUCUGAUUUUCUUCUGAUGCUAUUAUUUCCUCCAUUUCUUCACAACCUCGGACAUAAAUUUCCUCUAAGUUUUGGAGGCUCUUCAACGGCUCGAUUGUAAGCAACUUCUUCACCCUCGAACAACCAAUCACAUAUAAUUGUUUAAGAGAAGAGAAGGCAGGUGGUGUUGGAGCAUGAGAGGUAGAUUCAAAUUCAACCGCUACUCCUACUUCUACUCCUACUCUCACAACUUCACGCAAGUUGCGUAAGAAACAUAGUUGUAACACCUCAAUGUUGUGAAGUGCGUCGCAAGACGAUAAUGACAAGUCAACCACACACUCUAUCCCAGAACACUUCCUAAUUUGACAUAACUUCAAGUCAGGUGCCUUAUGAAACAAAGGAAUAUUGCUUAAACAUUUGAAAUCAUUACACUCCUCAAUAAGUAAAGGGUGAAGGUCAUUUGGGAGCACUAUAUCAUCACACCUCUCUAUCUCCAAAUUUCUAAAUUCAACCUUUUUCUUAAUUUCUUUGAAAUCUGGGAAUCCCCGAUAUAAAUACCCUUAAGUGGUCCCACUUGAAAAAAGAAAGAUGGAGGCCAUUUACCUUGUGCAGACUUUACAUAUUUCUUAAACUCUUGCAUGUUGCGAAAUGAACAUGAAACCCACUCAAGGUUCCUCAAUUUGCCCACUUCUUCCCCUCUUAAAUGUAACUCUCCCAGCAAGCAUUGCAGAUGAGAAAUCUUCACUAAUAUUCCUAUUGGUAGCUCCUUUAGAUGCCUUGACCUUAGACGAAAAUAUCUAAGGUUUUGUAACAUUUCUAUACCAUGAGGAAGCUCUUCAAUUCCUGUACCAUAAAGGUCCAACUUUCUCAGUGCUCUGAGCUCUGCUAAUGAAGGCACAUAUUUUAACCUGCCACAACUAGCAAGUAUCAAUGCAUCGAGGUUUUUCAAGUUAGAGAUGGAAUUGGGUAGAUCCUCCAAGUAAUAAUUACUAUAAAGAUUUAGAACUUUUAGUCUAGGCAUGUGCUUAAAGAAAGAUUCAGGAAUACUUUUUAAGCCACAUUGUUGCAAAAUCAAAGUUGACAAAUGAGGACACUCAGGUGAUAUGUGAGGAGGGAUUUCUAUUAAUUUUGAAUUUUGCAUCAAAGAAACCUUCUCAACACUCACUGUCCAUUCUUGCUCACUUGGGAAUUCUUUCAAUUGCAUACCUGCUUUUACCAUGAACUGAUGACCUUUAAUAUACAACGCCAUGUCCCUCAAAACAUCAUGCAUCUUAACUCCUUCUUUGCGACUCCUAGUUGUAGCCCUCUCUAGCAAGCAAUUAUUUUCAAGCUUAUUUAAAAUGCUAUGGCCUCUGUCAUGCAUUUCUUGUCUAGUCCUUAAGCCAUCAAGGAGUCCUUCAUCUAUCCAAUUUUCAAUUAAUUCAACUUCUCCAAUCACAAAAUCUUCAGAAUACAAGGAGCAAUAUAAGAAACAAUUUUGAAUUUUUGGAUCUUUCAAAUAGUCAUAACUGAACUUCAAACGCUCAAAUAUUUCAACAUCCGAUCCUUUCACACUUUUCACACGCUCUUUUAAUUCCAUUAAUGCAUUUCUCCACUCACAAAUAUCAUUUACCCCCUUCAUGCUUCCAGCUAUUGUGACAAUGCUAAGUGGUAAACCACCACAUUGCUCAACAAUUUUGUUGACAAUGUCUUUUAAAUUUUGAUCUUGUACAACACCAUGCCCCACACGAUCUAAGAAUAAGUUCAUGGACUCUGUCUUUGAAAGCGGUUGCACUUUGACCACCUUACAAUCCAUAGAUUGGCAGACCUCAAUCAAUCUACUAGUGAGUACAACUUUCCUCCCCAUACCUAUUGUUGGUUCAGGGAUACCCACAUCCAAUAGAGAAAACCGUUUCCAAACAUCGUCUAAGAUCAACACAUAUCUUUUUCCCUCCAAAAUAUCUUUUAAUGUUGAUGCUCUUUGCAGUUCAUCAUAUUUUGGAAGAGACUCUUUCAAAGAAUCUGCAAUAUCUUUUUGCAAUCUAAAAAUAUUCAAUUCUUUUGAUACAGUGAUCCAUAUCACUUGAUCAAACUUCUCACUUUCCUUUAACAAUCGAUUGUUGAUAUGCUUCAUGAUAGUAGUUUUCCCUAUACCACCCAUUCCACAUACUCCAAUCAUUCCAACCUUAUUACCCAUCAAAUACUCCCAAAUUUGUUCUUUUACAUCGAUUUCACCUUCUAGAUUUGGUGUUGGUAACAUCACCCCGGUGGUUGGAGGCCCAUCAACUGCCACAUUGUUAGGGAAACUACCGUUUUGGUGAAUUUCCUUUACCUCUUCAAUCAUUCGGCAAACAAAUUUUCCAAGACGACCACGUAAGAAGUAUGAAACAACAUGGAACUUGGUUUCAAUCUCUUCCAUUUCAGUGUUAACCUUUUCUACAGCUUUAAACCAGUACUCCACUUCUUCCCUCACCACUUUUCUGUGACGAAGCUCCUCUUCCUUUCUUGAUAUGAGGUCUCUCUUUCGGAUGUUUAAAACAUUCACUUUUUCUCGAAGAUCAUUCAUAUGUUCUUCAAGUUUUCGGUGAUGGUCAAUGUAUGUACAGGUUGGACCACCAAAGCACUUUAUCACUUCAAAAAUUUGCCCUAUAAGCUCCAUAUAAGCUAUUCCCUAGAGAUUAAACCAAGAUAUAUUAGAUCUCCAUAUGACAUAAGCUACUCCCUCCCUAAACUACAAUUCUAUAUUUUUCAUAUAAUACAGAAUAUGUUAGAAAAAAAUCUUACUAAUUAAAAUUUUUUUACCAAUUCUUCUUAAGAAAAAACAUAAUAUUUUUGAAAACAUUAUAAAAAACAAGAAGUUUUUGUUUCCGUCACUUAAUUACUAUAAUUAUUUUCCACCUAAUUAAGAGAAAAGAAGCAUGACAUAGACCAAUGAACAAAAAUAAUUAUGUGAAAGGAAAGAUGAUGAACCUAUGUUAUGAAUCUAAAACAUGAAUCCAAAUCAAUAUUAAACAAUUUAAUUUAUCUAGUCAAGUGAGGCAGAUGAGCUGGUACUUCUUCUAUUCUUAGAGUUUCUUGAUUAAGUUUGUAAAAGCAGAUCUCCUUGCAAAAAAUUGUCAAGAAAAUAGCAUCAAGCAGAUCUCCUUCCAAAAUAUCCUCUAUGAGAAGAAAAUGAGUAAUGAAGCACAUGAAUUAUUGAAAAGUGGGCAAGAUUAAUAUUUAUGUAAGAAACUAAAAUAAAUGCCCAAUUUGUGUCUUAAUAUUUAUAUAAAACUUAUGAUAAGAUGAAUUUGUGUUAUAAUUUAAGAUUUCGAUUAAUUAAUGUUAUCAAAGAUAAAACUAAAUCAUAAGUAUAGACAACCUACUUAAUUCCGUGAGGCAGGGAAGUGAUACUUCUAUCUUCAGAAGGCCCUUAAUAAAUUUGAGAAACAAGCCCAAUCAAGAAAAAUAGCAAUAACAAAUAGAUUAUCUCCUUGCGAAAAAGAAAAUCCUGAUCCUCCGAGAGAAGAGAAUUAUUGAAUUAUGAAGCAGAAAAGAAUUAAAGUCGGCAACUCAAUGCAAAGUUGAAUUAUUUUCAACCUAAUUAGGCAAAAAAGGAAAAAGAAUAGAAGCAUAAAAUAAAGAGAAAGACCCAAAAGAAAGUUUUAUGGAGUUUGUUGAAAGAUGAAUUUAUGGCAGAAGGUAAGAUUCAGAGAUGGUACCAAAGAUGAAAAAUAUAAGCGUAGAUACUUCAGCUUGUUGAUAUCACUAAGCAGAUCUCCUUGCAAAUUCCUGUGUAAUGAGAAGAGAAGGAAUUAUGAAGCAAAUAAGUCAAUGCAAGUCAUGACAUUGGUUUCGGGGUCACUUCCCUUAAAGCUGCUUUGAAAUAAAGAAAAUAUAAAUAAAAUAAAAGAUGAUGAAGUGAGCCUGAACACUCGUUCAUUUUUCUUAAAGAAACAAUAAUCUAAGUUAGGACAAAAAGGAAGCAUCCGAGAAGGAUCCUGCGUAAAUUUUUACCAUUAAAUUACUUUGUGAAAAGACAAAGUUAGGUGCGAAUUGAGCACAAGGAAAGAUGAAGCAAUUAAAAAUUCAUCCAUUGUGUUAGUGGCGAAAUAAAAUAAUGAAAAGUUAGAGAAAUAGGGAGUCAUGAUUAGUGACUUGUGGGGUAGUAAUUGGAUUCCCCUUCUAGGUGUUUUGUGUUAUGCCAUAAACUUAUUACAUUAAUCUGAAUUUAUAAUUUAUAAAGAGAAUUAUUUCAACCUGAAAACUGAAAAAUAAGUAUCCCAAUCUGCAAUAGAAUGAUUUGACUAUGCACAGAAUGUGCAUAAGCUAUGAUCUACUGAAUGUAGUCCAUUUUAUAAGGGGACAAGAAACGAAUUGCCCUGUUCUUUGAUGGAGCUUCAGCAUCAUGCUUCAACCAGAAGUUUUCUACUGAGUUAACCGGAUUGUUAGUUCCUUGAUUGAUUUUCUAGUUAAUGAGCCAUAUCAGAUUACUUAGACUUGAGAAAUAGAAUUUCAACUUCUAAGGUUCUAAAUGUGACUAGUUCACAAAAUAUAUAGAAAUAUAAGGUACAAGAAGAUGAUGAUGAAGAUCAUUAAGUAAAGAUAUUGAUGAAGUGUGACGGUCAUUUCAUUGUUGAAGAUGAUUCAUGGCCGCCCCGUGGAACUGCUUCAAAAUAGUUCUUUUCAGAUAGUCCUAAAUAAUUGCUGCUGCACACACAACAGACAAAUGUGGAUGCAGCUUAUCACUUCUGAUAGAGCAGAGGACUCCCCUAAGAAUAUGGAUCAUCUGCUAGUUCAAAUUGUCUUGACUCUUUCCACAAUCUCCAUUCCUGAUACAUAUCAAAACCAUUUUGUCAUUUAUUAGUUUGAAAACUUAAUUAGUUAAAUGAUAAUACAUUGCACAACACUUACAUGUCCAACAAGGCUCAACAUUGGUUGAUAAAACCUUCUAUUCUUCUCUCCACAUAUUAUCUCCAGCAAUAGCCAAAUAUAGUACCCAUCAACAAGUGGGUUAAUUUAUCCUUACCCCAUCAACCUUAAGUUAAGCUUUUGUUUUGGUCUGAUAGUUUAGGUGCACAAUCGAUCAAGAAGUGGAAUUUUUUCUGUCAAUAGCAAAAAUUAAAAUCAGAAACUGUUUUUUGACCAAGAAAAGAAGCAAAUAAUUGAAAUUUUGUAGUUUUAAGAAGGAAGCAAGACGAUUACCAGACGAGAAGCUGUGUUCAGCCAAAUGAAAAGGCAAUAGCAUUUCCUUAGCAUUAGGAUCAUCCCAUUCCAGUGAUUCCCACCAUUCUUCUGGAUAUAAAACGAUUUGCUCAACAGGAGGAGUGGGAGGAGAUGGUAGUCCAUUUUCAAGCAGGGGAAGAGAUAAGGGGAUCCUUUUUAACUUCGGACAUUCUAUUACCUCAAGAUAUUGACGAGAGUUUGUUGGAAUCAUAAGUCCAAAAACCACAAAUGCUUUUCUGCUCUGGUAAUUUCAACAAGGAAAGUUUCCUUAAUUUGGGAAGAAUAAAUGUUAUGUGGUAAUUGCCCUUCCUGCCUCAAUUUCCUCCAACUUUUGAAAACCCUACAGCAGCUUAAUUGAACACAACUUCUUCAUACUCGAACAGUUUCUCAAGCAAAACCUUUUGAGAGAAGAGAAAAUGGGAGGUGGUGUUGGGAUGUGAGAUGGAGAUACACAUAGAUUCAUGGUUUUCAUGAAUAAGAUAAAAAUGUUAUGAUCACCAUUUAAACAUAAUAUAUAUAUUAUAUAUAAUAUAUAUAUAUAUUAGAGUAAUCACACUAAUCAUAUCAAAUUAAACUUAUACUCAUAAUUUGCGUGCAACAUCAAAUCACCAAAUCUUAUACAGAUAAUUUAAACUAUUAAUCUUGUUUAAUUAUAUAUGUAUUCAUCAUUUGAAGGGCUUUGUAAAUUUAUAAAGUAAACAACAAUAAGCAAUAAUUAUGUUUAUUUUCAAUAUCUUGGUAUUGAUACAUCACUUCCCAAAUAUGCUUUCCUUUUCUUUUUCAUACAUAGACAUUGUCUUGUUUGGAGAUUGUAGCUAGCUAGAUACCAUUAUUGCCAGUCCAAGAGGUGACACUUUGGAGAUUGAAUAGAAUUUAAUUUUCAGGUGUUUUGGUCUUGAGAUGAGUGUCAACAUUAAUUCCUUUGGAUCUCUUGAAUUAGCUUUUGUAAAUAAAAGAAGGUAUCCCUCCUCAAACAUGGAAAAUCCCCUUUCAAACCUAUAAUUUUAAAGAAAGAAAAUCCUAAUUUAAUAGAUUAGUUGCCAACUAGGGACAAGCUCCGUUGAUGUGACAUUAAUUUUGGUAUAUUCUAACACUUGUUGACUAGAUUCAAUUGGAUAGGAUUUUUAAUUUGGGUGAAAUUUACGGGUACUGAUUAAACAAUGGAAGUGACAUUGGAGGUUCUAAGUCCCUUUCACCUAAGAGAGAAAUGAGUUUGUUCAAUUGACACAGCUUUGGUACAAACAGAAAGUAAGCUAAUACCAUAUCCAUAUUUCUCAUGUGACUUGCAACAAAUUUAAGACUGAAGUAUGGCAAAAUAUUGGGUAUUUGUAUAAAUUACAAUACAGAUAAAGAAAAAAAAAAAAGAAAGAGACUAAAUAGAAAGGGGAAGUGGAAAGAUCCCCAAAAUCAAUUAGUUGCAAGUGGAAGGAGCAAAGCCCAACUUUGUUGGCAACAAGGUCAUGUUCCCACAGAUGAUUUUGUUGCAGAGUGUUGUCAAUAAUAUUUACUUCCAAGCUGUCUUUUGGUAAAUAGAAGCUGAUAAUGGUUAUCUGGAUCAAGCUCAAAUAUAGCUCCAUCUUCAAAAAUGAAUUGCAAAUCUUGACACUGAUGAGAAAAUCAAGCCUUUUUAUUGCUUUUAAUAAAAGCGUAUAAAAUUUGAAGGGUGCUCAGUUGGGGAAUUACUAGUUCCCAAGUAAUAGUUUUAACUGCUACUUUCUUGUACCAAAUUCCCAAGAAACGAUUCUUAGAGCUUCCAGGACAAAGAAACCAAGCUUAAGGAUUCCAUCCAUCACUAACAGACUGGGAGGAGGUGGAGAUAUCGAUUCCAUCAGCAAUACUUAAAAACAAUAUUAGCAAAAUGGUGUUGGUGAACAUGAAAGACAGAAUGUCUAUUUGUCUCAACUUUCAGAGCUUGUAAAACUUAUAGAAAAACUUUUCAGUUUGGCAGAUUUUAGAGAGCAAACAUAUUUAAACUGAUGGUCGUUGACUAGUAUGCAAGUCUUCCUUGAAAAGACCAAACUUUUCAGGUUGCACAGAAUUCUUAUUUCUGAUUUUUAUGAGGCUUCAGUGUAGUCAUCUUGUAUUGUCUCUGUGAAUUGUAUAUACAUAUUAUACCCCCAAGUGGGCACUUGCAGGGUGCUAAGCUCAAACUGGGACUAAACCACUGGUAUCAAAGCAUAAGGGACAUAAACAUACGGAUCGAUAGCCUAUAAUAAUGGCUUGGAGAUGAAAGAGCUUAAGUAUACAGUUUAUCAAUUAUCGAGCAUCUAGUACUGACAGAGUUAUUUCAUUUGUGGAAGAAGAUACAUGCUUGUCUGAUGAAGAAUCUUCUUCAAGUGGACUUUUCUUAGACAAAAUACCAGGUUGUUUGGGGUGUGGCAAUUCAGUUUCACUUCCCAACAUCAGAAUCACAAAUGACAUACGUGGCCUCUCCUCAGGGAUUUUGUCAUUUAUCAGUUAGAAAUGUUGAAAAUCUCAAGGAUUUUGUUAUAUUUGCAGACCAUUAUCUGUUAAAAUGAUAAAGAUAAAACGAGAGAGAAAAUAUAAUUGAACACAAAGUCUCCCUACAGUCUUUUCAUUCAACAAUAACACUUAUAAAUACAUUUACAGGAGAGAGAAGACAACAAUAAAAUAAAACAACACGUAAAGUAAAAUAACUGCACAAUAUCCAUAUCUUACAUAAUCACCUACUUUACAAUACAAACCCACUACCUAACAUAACAAUAACUGACUCAACAUGACAAUAAUUGUAAAAGAGAAAAUAAACUGAUAUUAACUAAUAAAUUAAAAAAUUGUUGAGAAUAACUGAAUCUGAUUCUUCAAGUCAAAUCUCAUUCUUCAACAAAACUUGAUUAGUUAAAUGAUAAUACAUUUCACAACACUUUUAUGUCCAACGAGGCUCAACACUUUUGUCUGGUUGAUAAAAGCUUCUAUUUUACCUUCCACAAAUUAUCUCCAGCAAUAAUAUACCAAAGCUAAAUACACUACCCAUCAAGAAGUGGGUUAAAUUAUCCUUAACCCAUCAACAUUAAGUUAAGCCUUUGUUUUGGUCUGAUAGUUUAGGUGCGCAAUCGAUCAAGAGGUAGAAUUUUUUCUGUCAAUAAUAAAAAUUAAAAUCAGAAACUAUUUUUUGACAAAAAACAGAAGCUAAUAAUUGAAAUUUUGUAGUUUUAAGAAGGAAGCAAGACGAUUACUAGACGAGAAGCUGUGUACAGCCAAAUGAAAAGGCAAAAGCAUUUCCCUAACAUUAGGAUCAUCCCAUUCCACUGAUUCCCACCAAGUAAUUGUUUGGCCCUUGAUCCAAUAUAGACUUGGUGUAUUCUACUGAGAUUUGUAAAUUUAUUUUCUUAAAUUGAAAGCACUGUUGUGAAGAUUUUUCCCUUUCGAAAUGAUUGGUUUUUCAAUGUCAGACAAAUUAAGAAUACACCAUACUUUAGAAAUGGAAACAUAUAUAAACUACUUAUUAAAUUACUACAACAUCAAGCAAAUUACUGUAAUGAACAAGUGAUAAUGAAGUCAAUAUAAUCCAAGAAGAUAGAUUGAAGGGAGUUCAGUUGGCUAAUUGAUGCAGAGAAUAUUUGGAGCAGACUGGGUUAAUCCUUGUCCAAAACUCCUUGAAAGCCUCUUCAUAGCAAUUUCCUGUGACCAUUUACUAAGAUAGAUUGAAAGACCGCCUGCAAAUAGGAGAGAAGAAAAUGUUGAUGUAACGACCCAAGUCCAAUCACCGGCCCAGCAACUUUUCGAACCUAAACCAAUCACUGGCCUAGCAACUUUUCGAACCUAAACCACAUGGCCCUUAAAAGCUUAAGCUUAAGUUACUAGUAGUGAUGGACUUGGAUUGUUAUAUAGGUAUUAACAAUCAUAUUCAUAUUAGACGUGAGAUUUGAGGUAUCACAAUCCGACCCAUUCAGAUCCUUGAUGUCAUCAUCAAGACCACACAUCACAUUCACGAGACCAAGAUCUCAUUAGAGCAAUGUGAAAGCUCACAUCGGACUAGCGCAAGCUCUUAUACCAUUUGUAAUGACCCAAGUCCAAUCAUUGGCCCAGCAGCUUUUCGGACCUAAACCACAUGUACCUCAAAAGUUGAAACUCAAGUUACUAGUAAUGAUGGACUUAGAUUGUUAUAUAAGUUUUAACAAUCAUAUUUAUAUCAGAUGUGGGAUGUGAGGUAUCACAAUGAACUUGAGUUUAAGUUUUUGAUGACCAUGUGGUUUAAGUCUAAAAAGCUGUUGGGCCAGUGAUUGGAUUUGAGUCAUUACAAAUGGUAUCAGAGCCUACGCCAGUCCGAUGUGAGUUUUCACAUUGCUCUUAUGAGAUCUUAUUCUCGUGGAUGUGAUGUAUGGCCUUGAUGAGAACAUCAAAGAUUUGAGUUGGUGGGAUUGUGAUAUCUCACAUCCCACAUCUGAUAUGAAUGUGAUUGUUAAAACCUAUAUAACAAUUCGAGUCUAUCACUACUAGUAACUUGAGCUUAACUUUUUAAGGACCAUGUGGUUUAGGUCCUAAAAGCUAUUGGGCCAAUGAUUGGACUUGGGUUGUUACAGUUGAUUAACAUCAACAAGUACAUCCCCUAGAUAAAUGAAUAAAAAUAAACACAGAAUGUGGAUAAAAAUAAACUGAGACUAUUUGCAGUUUUAAGAAAAAACGUUGAGGACUUUACCGAUGUGAACCGUCGAGCCACAUUUAAUGGAGUAGAUUUUCUCCAUCUCAUUCUACCAAAUAAAAACAAAGGGAGAAAAGACAUGCUUAGCAUCAAGGUGAUCCCAUUGCACUGAUUCCCACCAUUCACUCUGGCUUACAUUGAUUUCUUCUAGAAAAGGAAGAGGACAUGGUUGCCCAUUUUCAAAAAGGGCAAGACACAAAGGGAUCCUCUUUAGAUUUGGACAUUUCCAUAUUCGAAGAUUUCGGAGAGAAUCUGUAGGAAUCACAACUCCACCACUGUAAAUGCUUUUCAAUUUUGGUAAGUAGAUCAUCCAUAAUGAUUUUAAUUUAAGCAGAAUGAAUGUUGUUCUUUCUCCUUUACGAUUUUCUUCUUAUUCUGAUGCUAUUAUUUCCUCUAUUUCUUUAUAGUCUUCAACUUUAAUUUCCUGUAAGUUUUAGAGACCUUGCAACAACUCAAUUGGGAACAACUUCUUCAUCUUCCAACACAAAUCUAGAUGCAAUAAUUUAAGAGAAAAGAAGAUGGUAGGUGGGGUUAGAGGAGGAGAGGUAGAACCAAAUUCAAGCGCUACUCUUACUCUCACAUGUUCAUGCAAGUUCCACAAUGACUUAAGGAAUAUCUUCUUAAUGUCAUCAAGUGUGUUGCAAGGCGACAAUGACAAGUCAACCACACACGCCGUCCCUUUACACUCCUCAAUUUAACAUAUCUUCAAGUUAGUUGCCUUACGAAACAAAGGAAUAUUGCUUAAACAUUUGAAAUCAUUACACUUCCCAAUACGUAAAGUAUGAAGGCCAUUUGGGACUAGUGUAUCUUCUAUUUUCUCCAUCUCACAAUGCAUGAAUGUUAUCUGCUUUUCAAGUUUCUCUAAAUUUUGGACAGGUAGACUAUGUAAAACCUCAGAUGAUCCUACUUCAGGAUAAAGAUUUUUAGGCCAUUUACCUUGUAUAGACUUUGCAUAUCUUGAACUCUUACAAGUCACAAAAUGAACAUGAAAGAAUCUCAAGCUUCAUCAAUUUGCCUUCUUCUUCUCCCAUUAAAUGCGGCCCUACUAUUAAGCAUUGGAGAUGAGACAUCAUCAGCAAUAUUCCUACAGGCAGCUCUUUUAUAUUAGAUGACCAUAGACGGAGAUAUCUAAGGAUUUCUAACUUUUUUAUUCCAUGAGGAGCCUCUUCAAUUCCCAUAUACAAAAGGUCCAACUUUUUAAUGCUCUAAGCUUUGCCGAGGAAGGCACACAUUUUAAUAUGUAACAACAAAAAAGUAUCAAUGCAUUAAGAUUUUUCAAGUUACAGAUGGAAUUGGGUAGAUCUACAAUCUGAGUACGAGAAAGAUCUAAAACUUUUAGGUCAGACAUGUACUUAAAUAAAGAUUCUGGAAUCCUUCUUAAGCCACAGUUUUGCAAUAUCAAAGUUGACAAACGAGGACAUUCAGGUGAUAUGUGAGGAGGGAUUUCUAUUAAUUUUGAAUUGUCUAAUAUCAAGGAAACCUUCUCAACACUCAUUGUCCAUUCCUGCUUAAUUGGUAGUUCCUUUAAUUGCAUGUAUUGAUGACCACUACUUUUAACAUACAAUGCCACGUCUCUCAAAACAUCAUGCAUCUUAACUUCUUCCGUAUAAUCAGUUGUAGUCCUUUUUAACAAGCAAUUAUUUUCAAGCUUAUUUAAAAUGCUAUGGCCUUUGUCAUACAUUGCUUGUCUAGUCCCUAAGCUAUCAAGGAGUCCCUCAUCUAUCCAUUUUUCAAUUAAGUCUGUUUUUCUAAUUCUAAAAUCCUCAAGAUACAAGGAGCAAUAUAAGAAAUGAUUUUGGAUUUCUAGAUCUCCCAAAUGGUCAUAAUUGAACUUUAAACACUCAAAUUUUUCAAUGUUCGACCCUUUCACAAUUUUCACUUGCUCCUCUAAUUCAUUUAGUGCAUUCCUUCACUCACAAAUAUCAUCUACUUCUACCCCUUUUAGGCUACUAGCCAUUGUCACAAUGAAAAGUGGUAAACCGCCACAUUGCUCAACAAUUUUGUUGACAAUAUCUUUUAAAUUUUGAUCUUGUAUAACACUAUACCCCACACAAUCUAAGAAUAUAUUCAUGGACUCUUUUUUUGAAAGCGGUUGCACUUUGACCACCUCACAACCCAUAGAUUUAUAGACCUCAAUUGAUGUACUAGUGAAAACUACUUUCCUCCCCAUACUUAAUGUUGGUUUUGGGAUUUCCUCAUUUAGUAGAGAAAGUCAUUUCCAAACAUCGUCUAAGAUCAACACAUAUCUCUUUUUCUCUAAAAUAUCUUUUAAUGUUGCUACUCGUUGCAAGUCAUCUACUGGAAGAGAUUAUUUCAAAAAAUUUGUAAUAUCUUGUUGCAAUUUGAAAAUAUUCAAUUCUUUUCAUAUAGUGACCCAUAUCACUUGAUCAAAUCAAUUAUCCUUCAACAAUUGAUUAUUGAUAUGCUUCAUGAUUGUAGUUUUCCCUAUACCACCCAUUCCACAUACUCCAAUCAUUCCAACCUCUUCACCCAUCAGAUACUCUGAAAUUUGCUCUUUCAUAUUGAUUUCACCCUCUAGAUUUGGUGUUGCUAAUGUCAUCCCAGCAAUUGAAGGCCCAUCAACCGCCACACCAUCAGGGAAACAACCUUGUUGGUAAAUUUCCAUUACUCCUUCAAUCUUUCCGCAAAGAAAUUUUCCUAGAUGGCCGCAUAAUAAGUAUGAAACAGCACAGAACUUCUUUUCAAUCUCUUUCAUUUCAGUCUUUACCCUUUGUACCUCUUUAAACCAGUUCUCCACUUCUUUCUUCACCUCUUUUCUGUGACGAAGCUCCGCAUCCUUAAUGGAUUCAACAUCUUUCUUUCGAGAUUUCAAAGCAUCCACUUUCCUUCGAAGCUCAUUCAUAUGUUCUGCAGGUUUUCGAUGAUGAUCUAUGUAUCUAUAGGUUGGAUCCCAAAAAUACUUUAUCACUUCAUAAAUUAGCCCUAAAAAGUCCAUAUAAGCUACACCCUAUAAUUUAAUAAACCAACUUAUAUUACAUCUCUACAUGAUAUAAGCUACUCCCUGUACUAAAAUUCAAUAAAAUAAUAUGUAGCCUAUACGUUACAAAAAAAAUGUUACAAAAUAAUAAAUUUUUAAUUUCAAAAUUGGAAGACUAAAUUUACUAUAUGUGAUUUUUUUAUAUAUUUUACACAUUUAAUACGAAUUCAAAUGAGAUUAGGCAAGAAUUUGUAAUUGUUAGCCUAAGUGAACAUAGAAUGACCAUUUAAUGUUAAAUAUUCAAAUUCAAAAAUGGAUAUUGUCACCCAAAAAUGUAUUUGCUAGCAUAACUCAAAUAAAAGGAAAACUUUAUAAUAUUAAAAUUUGCAUUGAUUUCACUGUUUUCUCUACCAAUUGUUUCAAAUAGCGUUUAUUGCUAUUAAUUUUUUUGACCAUGACUCCUAAUUUGAUUUUUGUUUCAUACUUAUUACUUAUUUAAUUGUUCACAUUCAUAAUUCAGAGUUUACCUUAUAUGGUUACUUCAACUUUACCUCUUAAAAUAUGAGAUAUCUUGAAAUUAAUGCUAUAAAUUGCAAAUUUUUUCUACUUACUUGGUAUGUUUUUGUUAAAGAUUAUAUAUAGUUUCUUAGGCUAUUCUCCACUCAUAUUUAGUUUCUAUGUUUCCCUAAUCCAAAUUUCCAUCAUCAAAAGUUUGAUUUCUUCUUUUUGCAGACCUCUUUGAAUUAUUCAAUUUUGUCUAUAUAUGUAUUUUGACCUCAUUGAUUUAUAAUUAUUUAGUAGUUAUGUAUUUCAACCUCUUUAAUGAACUAUUCAAUUUCUUAAUUUAUUUUCUUUAGUCAAUUGUUUUACUGUAUUCAUAUGAGUAGAUUUUCAUCAGAAUCAUUUAAUCUUCUAAGACGUUAUUCAUUAACAUGGAUACUUCCAACUUAAUUUUUUUUUACAUUCUACUUUAUAUUUUAAAUUCUUAAAAAUUAUUAUAAAAUAAAAUUAUCACCUGUGCAUUGCAUGGGGAUAAAUCUAGUUUUUGAUAAUAAUAAACAUCAUCUUAACCAAUAAUAAUGAUAAUAAUAAAUAUCAAAGACCCAAGCAAAUAUUAAUCAUUUUGAAUUGAUAGUCCUAAAUAUUUUCAAUUGUGGAUUAAUAAAAUCUAAACAUGAGUAAGGAAUAUAUAUAUUACAUCUUUUUGAUAAUUAAAACAACAAAGCUUGUGACAACAACAAUAUAUCAUAAAAAGAUAUUUAAGAAAUGAUAGAAAGAAUAAAUUGAGAGAAUAGAAUGAUAUUUAGGGUCCGUUCGUUUUGCAGUAAAAUAUUUUCCGGAAAAUAUUUUCAGGACUUAUGCUUGUUUGGUAGAUGGAAAAUUAAUUUCAGAUGUAAAACAUUUUACGAGUUAAUAGGGUUAACCAUGGAAAAUGUCUUAUACGCUUGAAUGGCGUAAGACAUUUUUCAAAGAACAACAAAAACACUUUUAUGCUAAGUUUAUGAUUAUAAGUUUGAUGAAUAUUAAUAUUUAACUUAAAAUAUUAAAAAAAUAAAAAUAUUAAUAUUUAACUUUAAAAUAAUUACUUUAAAAUAUUAAUAUUUAAAUUAUACAAUACUAUUAAAAUUAAAAAAAAUAUUAUUGUAAUGAAACCAUUCAAUACAAUUAAAUUUUUUAUUUAUAAAUGGAAUAAAUCUUAUUAAUAAUUAUAAUAAAAAAUAUUUCAAUGAUCAUUAUUUGAUUAAUACACAUUUAUAAUAGUUUUAAAUCUUACUAAUAAUUAUAAUUAAAAAUAUUUCAAUGAUCGUCAUUUAAUGAAUACACAUUUAUAAGCAUAGAUUUAGGAUAUCUUACACAAUUGAUAAAUAUUUACAUUUUAUAGUUAUGAUAAAAAAGUGAUAAAAUGGAAAUUUUUUUGAAAAUUAGAGUUUAUUUUCAUCACAGAUAUGUGGUUAAAUGNGAAAUUUUUUUUUAAAUUAGAGUUUAUUUUCAUUACAGAUAUGUGGUUAAAUGCUUUGAGAAAUAUCAUUAUUGAUUUUGUCCAUUUUCAUCUUCAUUCUUAAUUUUGAUCCCAAAUUAGUGAAAAUCAAAUAUCAAUAUUGUUUUGUAAUCAACUCCUAUUUAUUAUUUUAACGCCUAAAUAAGUCCACCAUAAUGAAAAAUAUUUUUCAUAAAAUGAUCCAAACAACUGAAAAUGUUUUCGAUAGUUUAUCCAAAUAAUAAAAUAUAUUAAAUUUUCCUAUAAAAUAUUUUACAUAGGAAAAAUUUUCCUUCAGUAAGUCAAUUUACGAUUACCAAACGGACCUUAAAGUACCUGGUUUCCUUUUCAAAUUAUUUGGAAAGACCAAGAAUAGAGGUUAAGUAGAUGAACUGCAAAUUAAUCCCCUUGGCUCCUUGCGUUAAGUAGAAAUUUUUGUGGAAAAUUAAAAAUCUUAUUUUUAACACCAGUAGUGUUAAUUCAAAUUUAUACUUGUACCAAUUCAAAUUUAUAUUUAAGAGGAGAAUCAAUCCAAUCUGAAGAGUGAAAAAGUCUUGAAUUAAUUCCUUGUUGCUGAUGUAGAGAGAUGUAGUUGUAGAAGAAACUAUGCAUAGAAGGAACAAGUUUAGCCCUUGAAAAGAGCCUUGUGGAUGGCUCUUGAUCUUUACACAAAUGCUGCAGAGAACUUGUAAAUGAUGAGCUUGCAUGGAAUUUGUAUAUCUUAAUCAUAUGAAGCUUCAGUUUGGUCCUUCAAUUUCUCUAUCUAUGAAAUAAACACAAGGCAUUGUAUAUGAACUAUUCUAUACAUCUCAACUCUUCUUGGACAUAGAGAAAACCACCUUCAACUUGCUUUGAAAUUUCCUUCCUUGGUACAUGAUGCUGUCAAGUUAAGAACAUUGAAAAAUAGGAUUCAACCUUGCAAUCUAUAUUGACAUGAGGUUAACAUAAUUCUAAUCCAGUAUUGCAACUCCAUUACUGUCGACUCAAUCUGUAAUUAAUUUAAACAUAAGGGAAAGUAAGGUUAGAUUCAUUCGCAUUGGCUUUCUCUGCCCUGCUUUUAGAAAUUUCGUUGGUGAAAUUGGAUAAUGCUUCUUUCAGAUAAAAGACUUGAAGAUACCCCUUAAUAAAAGGAUUUGACAAAUUCUAAAUAUAAUUAGUUGAAUCAUAUGCAGAAACUGAAUUUGAAUCUCAAAAAGAAGAUUUUCUUCUCAUGAAAGCCUCUGUCAAGAACAUAUCCAGAUGACUUACAAUUCAAGUGAAUUUGGAUAGUGCUUCUGAUGAAAGCCUUCGAACAUUAGAACUACAGAAGACAUACAAUUCAAGUGACCAGAUUCCAGAUCAAAUAUGAACAAAUCUUGUAAAUUAGCAUUUUCUCCGCUCCUUGUUAUGCAACGACCAAGAGGCUUUACAGGAUUACGCUGCUGAAGCUUGGCAAUCAAUUUCACAUCAUUUCAUAGCACAUACAAUCCUUGUCAAGAACUCCUUCAAAGCCUAUACACAGCAAUUUGUCAUCCAUCUGAUAAUGUACCUUGAAAGGUUAAAAGUAAAGAUUGCAAAAGGGUUUUCCUUGUACAUACGUCCGAAUCCACCUUAUCCAAGCUUCUUGUAUAUUGGUGACUUUAGCUAUAGAGGAUAGGUCAAACAAGUCGAACCUCUGUGUUUUCCUUAUUGCCUACAACGUUCUGCUCAGCUUCUCCCAUGGUUUCUUUCUCUGAAAUAGAGGGAAAUGUGCCUCCUUAAGUGUACAGUUUUAAUGAUUUUUUUUUUGGAAGAUAUAGUGAUUUUUCAAUGCUGUUUUUUCCUCUGUUUUUUCUCCACUGACAAAUGAUUGAUACGCAAUUUCUAGCAAACUAUACCUUUCGAAAAAUUUCAAGAAACAGAAGAGCUAAAUGUUAUGGUUGACAAGACAAAUGAGCUUUACCUUGUAGGUUUCUCCAGAGUUUGUAAAGGUAACAGUCAAUUAUCACCAUCCCAGCAACAAUGGCAAGGUCAAUUCUGCUUUGAGAUAACAGCCAUCCUCUUCUUAGGCUCAUCUUUAGCCUUUUCAGGUUCAGAUUUGACACAGGAAAGUCAGUUAAACUUAUUUUCAGAAAGUAAGACACAGAGUUAAAAAAUGCUAAUGACACAUGAAAAAGCAAAUGAAUUAAUGAGUUAAAAUUAGGUGCAAAUUUAAUUUUGAAGCAGAAAUUUGAAUAUAAUGUACUCGCCCACCAGAAGGUUUCUGUCUGAUAUCAAAUAAUCAAAUCACAUGACUGAAAAGUUAGUGGUAGGGCCAAGAACUGAAGGUCCAUGUUUUCCUUGAAGCUUUCAGCAUGCCCUGAUCAGUUUCUUCAAUGUUUUUCUCUUAUCUAAUGUUCUGCUCAACAAAAGAAUAAAAAAUAAAAAAAUUUAAGACUAAAUGUAAAUGCAUGGUAAACUUGCUGUCUAGCUGAGAUGGUUUUAGAAAUUACUGAAGGCAUAGUGAAUGCUAAAUUUUUAAUGAAAAUCUGAUAGCCCAAUAACCAUAGGCAAAAAACAACUUGUGAAAGGACCAACCUAUCAUUGCCAUCAUCAGCCUCUUACUCUUCAUCCUCUUCUGAAGAAAAUUCUAAAACAACUUGUGAAAGGACAUCCUUAGCAUCAGGAUCAUCAAAUUCCACUAAUUCCCACCAUUUUCUUGGAUGAACAUAGCCAUGCUCGAGAGGAGGAGGAGUUGGUUGCCCAGUUUCAAGCCGGGGUAUGGAGAAAGGGAUCUUCUUGAGCUUUAGACAAUUUAUUAUUGAAAGAAAUUGGAGAGAGUUUGCAGGAACCAUAACUCCACUAGUACAAAUGCUUUUCAGUUCCGGUAAUUUGAUCAGGUGCAAGGUCUGUAAUUUGGGAAAAACAUAUGUUGUUACUUUAGGACCCCUUUCUUCUUCUUUGUGAUUUUCUUCCUCUGCUUCUGAUGCGAUUAUUUUCUCCAUCUUCUCACAGCGAUUAACUUCAAUGUACUCUAAGUUUUGCAAGCCCCGCGACAGCUGAACUGAAAACAAAUUCUUUAUACUUGAACAACGAAACAAAUGAAAUUUCCUAAGAGAAGAGAAGAUGGCAGGCGGUGCUGGAGUGUGAGAUGUAGAGACAGCUGCUACUCUUCCUUUCACAAGUUCUUGCAAGUUGGACAAACAUCGAAGACGUAGAACCUCAAUGUUCUGCAAUGAAUUGCAAGAUGAUAACGACAAAUCAACCAUGCACUUUAUUCCUUUACACCAACUAAUAGUACAUGUCUUCAACUCAUUUGCUUUACGGCACAAAGAAAUAUUGCUCAAGCUUUUGAGAUCAUGACAUGCCUCAACAGUCAGAGUCCUAACGCAAUUUGGGAGCACCACAAGAUCUUCUUUCCCUAUCUCGCAAUUAAUAAAACAUACCUUUUUGUCAACUUCGACAUCCUCAAGAUGAGAACACCAAGGAUGGCUCCUGAUGUUGCCCAAAGUAGGUGAUCCAACUCCAAGCCAGUAUUUGGAGGGCCCUUGACCCAAUAAAGACUUGGCAUAUCUCUCAAAGUCUUGUAUUUCACAAAAGAAUCCUAGAAGAAUCUCCAGCUUCCUUAGUUUGGCUACUUCCUCUCCUCUUCUAUUCAUCCAAGUUUUCAAGUAUUGGAGAUUAGAAAGCCUUAAUAGAAUUUCCGUUGGUAGUUCCUUUAGAUUCCUUGAAUAUAAAUCAAGAUAUGUGAGGCUUUCUAACAUUUCUAUACCACGAGGGACCUCCUCAAUAAUUGUAUCAAAAAGAUCCAACUUUCUCAAGGCUGUAAGCUUGGCUAAUGAAGGCACGUAUCUUAAACUGCUACACCUUCGAAGGACAAGUGCAGUUAGAUUUUCCAAGUUAGAAAUGGAAUUGGGCAGAUCAUAAAUGCCAGUAUCCGAAAGAUCUAGAACUUUUAGCCCAUGCAUGUGGUCAAAGAAAGAUUCUGGAAUUCUUUUGAGACUAUGAUUUUCUUGCAAUAACAAGGUUGACAAAUUAAGGCAUUUCGGUGAUAUCUGAGGAACUUGUGAUAUGUAAUUGUGAAUCAAGGAAACCUUCUCAAGAUUCUCUUUCCAUUUAUGCUCACUUGGUAACUCCACUAAUUGCAUACCAGCUUGAACCAUAAAGUGAUGACACCCUCUUAUAAUAGACAAUGCCAUGUCUCUUAGAACAUCAUGCACCUUCACUUCUUCCUUAACAUUGUAAGUCAUCACCCUCUCUAACAAGCAAUUAUUUACAAGCUUAUUUAAAAUAGCGCGACCUCUGUCUUGCAUUGCCUGUCUAGUUUCUAAUUCAUCAAUGAGAUCCUCAUCUAUCCAUUUUUCAAUCAACUCUUCUUCCACAAUGUGAUAAUCUUCAGGAUACAAGGAACAAUAUAAGAAACAAUUUUGAAUUUUUGAAUCUUUCAAACGAUCAUAACUGAAUUUCAUACGCUCAAAUAUUUCAAUAUCUAACCCUUUCACACUUUUAACCCUUUCACGUAAUUCAUUUAGUGCAUUCCUCCACUCGCAAGUAUCGUCCACUCCUCUCAUGCUACUAGCUAUAGUCACAAUGGCAAGCGGUAAACCACCACAUUCGUCAACAAUAAGGUUUGCAAUUUCCUUUACAGUUGGAUGUUGUAGAACCCUAUCCCCCACCAGAUUCAAAAAUAAGUUCAAUGACACCUUCUGCGAAAGAGGCUGCACUUUAAACACCUUACAACCCAUAGAAUUACAAACCUCAAUUGAUCUACUAGUGAUUAUCACUUUGCUCCCAUUAUGUAAUGUUGGUUCCGGGAUUCCCACAUCCAAUAGAGAAAACCGUUCCCAAACAUCAUCUAAGAUCAACACAUAUCUCUUUCUUUCCAAGACUUCCAUUAAUACAGUUGCCCAUUGCAACUUAUUUUCUGGAAGACAGCAUUCUAAAGCACAUGCAAUAUCUCCUUGUAAUUUGACAGCAUUGAAUUCUCUAGAUACGGUGACCCAAAUCACUGCAUCAAACUGAUUUUCCUUCAACAAUUGAUUAUUGAUAUGCUUCAUGAUGGUAGUUUUUCCCAUUCCACCCAUACCACAUACUCCAAUCAUGCCAACCUCGUCACCCAUUAAAUUUUCCCAAAUUUGUUCCUUUACAUCGAUUUCACCUUCUAGUUUUGUUGUGAGAAAUGUCACCCCUGUAGCUGGAGGCCCAUCAAUUGUUACACCCUCAGGGAAAUUACCUCGUUGAUAAAUUUCCUUUGCUUCUUCAAUCUUCUGGCAAACAAAUUUCCCUAGGCGUGCACGUGAGAAGUAUGAAACAACACGCAAUUUCUCUUCAAUCAUUUGAAGUUCAAUAUUUAUCCGUUCUAAAUCUUCAAACCAUUUCUCCACUUCUUUCUUCACCACUCUUCUGCAACGAAUAUCUGCUUCCUUUCUGAAUUCAAGGUCUUGCUUUCGAAUAUUUAGAUCAUUCACUUUUCUUUUAAGAUCAUUCACAUUUUCCUUAAGUUUCCGAUGAUGACUAAUGGAUCUAUAGGCUGGACCCCCAAAGCACUUUACCACUUCGAAAAUUGGCCCUAGAAGCUCCAUAUAAGCUACUCCCUGUAGUUUAAAAACCAAUAUGUAUAUUACAUCUCCAUAUAAGAUACUGCUUGUACUACUAUGUUAUUAAAUCUCAAACUUUUAUCAAUUCUUCUAAAGAAAAAAAAAACAAAAGAAAAAAUAUUGCUUUUAAAAAACUUUAUUAAAUACAAGAAUCCAUCAUCUAUGAGAAUAGUGUUUAUAUUUCUAAGACUACUUAUACGUUAAUGGUUUUAUAUAUAGUAUAUGUAGAUGAAUGUAUACAUGUUUGUGUUUAUAUAUUUAUAUAUAGUGUUCAACUUUCUCACUUAAGAACCAUCACAAAUUCUUUAAAUAUGUCUGACCUGUGUUUUCGAGUCUUGAUCAUUAGAACAUUAAUAAAAGGAGGAAUAAAAAAAUGAGAAAACAAUUCUCAAUAAUAUUAAACAUCAAGGACCCAAGCAACUUUCUCACUUAAGUUGUAUCACUCUCUAACAGGUAAUUAUUUUCAAGCUUAUUUAAAAUGCCCUCUGUCAUGCUUUGUUUGUCUGGUUUCUAAGCUGCCAUGGAGCCUCUCAUCUAUCCAAGUUUCAAUUAAUUUCAUUUUCUCAAUUUCAAAUUCUUCAGGACAUAAGGAACAAUAAUAUAAGAAAAAAUUUUAAAUUUUGUAUUUCUCAAGCAAUCAUAACUAAACUUCAAACAACCAAAUAUGUUGACGUUCACACCUUUCACACUUGUCACCCACUCUUCGAAUUCAUUCAGUGCAUACCUGCACUCACAAUAUCAUCUACCCCUUUCAUGCUACUGGCUAUUAAUGUCGCAAAGCGGUAAAUCGCACAUUGCUCAACAAUUUUGUUGACAAUGUCUUUUAAAUUUCAAUCUCAUACAACACCACAUGAUCUAAGAAUAAGUUCAUGGACCACGUUUUUUAAAGUGAUUUCACUUUGACAACCACACUAUCCAUAAAUUUACAGACCUCAAUUGAUUUACUAGUGAGUACAACUUUCCUCCCCAUACCUAAUGUUGGUUUUGUGAUUCCUACAUCCAAUAGAGAAAAAAUUGUUUCUAAACAUCAUCUAAAAUCAACGCACAUCUCUUUUCCUCCAAAAUAUUAUUUAAUGUUGCUGCUUAUUGCAAUAUAUCUUUUGGAAGAGAUUGGUACGAAGAAUCUGCAAUAUCUUCUUGCAAUUUGAAAAUAUUCAAUUCUUUUAAUAGGUGAGCCAUUCCACUUUAUCAAGCCAGUUAUCCUUCAACACUUGAUUAUUUAUAUGCUUCAUGAUGGUGGUUUUCCCUAUGCCACUCAUUCCAUAUACUCCAAUCAUUCCAAUCUCAUCACUCAUCAAAUACUUCAUUUUUUAAUUUUUCUUCAAUUUCACCUUCUAGAUUUGGUGUUGGUAAUGUCACCCUGGUGGCUAAAGGCCCAUCAAUUGCCACACCAUCAAGGAAACCACCUUGUUGGUAAAUUUCCUCUAAUUCAUCAAUCAUUCAACAAAAUGAUUUUCCUGGACGACCGCAUAAGAAGUAUGAACCAACACAGAACUUCUUUUCAAUAUUUUCCAUUUCAGUCACCCUUUGUACGUCUUCAAAGGUUAAAUGGAGCACAGUAUGCAAGCCCAAAAGAUUUGGAGGACUGGGGAUCUCAAACCUUAAGCAUAAAAACUUAGCUCUCCUUGCAAAAUAUUGGUGGUGGCAGUAUGGCAACGAGGAAAACGCAUUAUGGAGGUGGCUGAUUGUAGAAAAAUAUGAAAGGGGGCAAAAUCAUUGGAUCCCCUCAUCAUCAAACAUGGGAAGAAUGUCACUGAUAUGGAGAUCCAUUGUAAAUUUACCUUCCAACAAGGGUGUUCAAGAACUUGUGUGAGACCAAGCAUGUCGCUGGAUUACUAUUUUCUUUUGGCUUUACAAAUUGAUUAAUGAUGUUCCUCUUUUCUCCAAAUUUUCUCCUCUUUUCUCUUUGAUUGUUUCAAAGGAAAUGAAAGUUGUUGACGUGCAGAACAAUCGCACUUGGUCCAUAACCUUUAAACACAAUCUACAUUUAUGGGAGAAAGAAUCCUAGGAUGAGAUCCUCCACAAGUUCUCCUCGAUUCCUUACUCCAAGGAAAAGGUGAUAAGCUCAUUUGGCGGCAUGACCCUAAGGGUGCUUACUCUAUUAAAACUUUCUACUUACUCCUUGAUGCUAAUCCUAGUGCUUGAAAGUUUGGUUCAACACUAUUUGGCACUUCUCCAUUCCACCGAAGGUGCAAUGUUUCCUAGGGCUCUCGCUCAUAUAUAGAUUCUUUACCUACCAAAGGCUUCCUUUCGUCCGAGGUGUUUAAUUCAAUGUUGAGCAACUUAGAUGCCCUUGGUGCAGCCUUGUAGUGGAGACAUUUGUUCUUUGUAUUAUCUUUCAGUAUGUUGCUAGUAGUUGAUGUAUAAUUCUCUUAGGCCAUGUUUCGGAUUGUUCUGCAUUUUGUAAGCCAGGCUGGUUAGGUUCUGUUAUGCACUCUUUGUGCACUCCCCUGUUUUUUUCAUUUUCUGUUCUGCAUCAACAGUUCAUUCCCAGCCUUGUACUUUAAAAAACCAACUUAUAUUACAUCUCCAUAAGAUAUAAGCUAUACCUUGUACUAAAAAGCAAAAGAAAAAUAAGUUUUGAAAACAUUAUUAGAAACAAGAAGUUUUUGUUUCGAUCAUCUAGGUGAAUAAUGUUUACAUUUCUAACACUAUAUUUAUCAAGCCGAAUGUAUAUACUAUUUAUAUAUAGCAUAUACUUCCCCCCCUAGAGAGCCAACACAAAUUCUUAAAUAUGUCUUGCCUACAUAUCUCAAAAAGAUAUUUAAGAAAUAAUUGCAUGAAUAAAUUGAGAGGGUAAAAUGACAUUAAAAAUACCAGGUUUCUUCUUCAGGAAAGAUGAAGAACAGGGCUCAAGUAGUACAAAUUAAUCCCCUUGGUUCCUUGCUAAGCACAAAUUUGUUGUGGAAAAUAGCUGACAUAAAAGAGGAACAAUCACUAGUGUUGUAAAGGUGAAAAGCUUAUUUGCUAAAGUUUUUGGAAUUAUUCUUAUUCUUGCUCACUAUAAUUAAUUUCAGCCUAAUUAAUAGAAUAGAAGCAUGACAAAGAAAGAACCAAAAUAAUUUUGUGCAACUUGACUAAAGAUGAUGAAAUUAUGUUACAAGAUUAUAAGAUUCUAAAGAACAUGAACCCAAAAGAUUAAAAAUCAUAAUAUAAAGGAAUAGGCAGUUCAAUUACCUGGUUAAAUGAGACAAUGAAUGGGUACGUCUCCUCUCCUUAGAGGGUCUUGGUUAUAUUGGUGGAAUGGAAGAUUAAUAUCUCCUUCUAGAAUUUGUCAAGAACAGAGCAAAAUCAGAUCUCUCUGCUGGCAAAAUAAUACUAAUUGACGAUGUGGAGCAACAAAACUUGUCACACGCCCUAUAUCUACUUUCUUAUAUUUAUAUUUCAAAGGAGAAUUAAUCCAAUUUAGAAAAGUCAUGAAUCAUAAUUUCUUGUUGCCGAAAUAGGAAGAUUUGGUUAUAGAAGAAACUACGCACAACAAGUUCAGCACUUUUGUUCUUUUUUAUAAUUAAGAAACAAACAUAACCCAAAAAGACAUAUGUUUAAGCAAUCAAUAUUGCAAGAAUAAAGGAGACGGUAGAAUGAUUGCAAGGGCUAAAGCCAUAUAUAGUAGGGGAAAGGAUAUGAAACCUGUUUCCUUCUUCAAAUUAUUUGGAAAGAUGGAGCUGAACAGGUUCUGAGCCACAAACCUCUUGGAAUUUUAUGUGGAAAAGUAACUGACAUGAAAGAAGGAGAAUCAAUAGUGUUAUGAUAAAGCUGAAACUCUUCACUUGUAGCCUAUGGGUCUAGUUUCUACUCAUUAAUGGAGAGAAUUAUUGAAUUAGGAAGCAAAAAAGAAUAUAAAGUCGGCAACUCAAUGCAAAGUCAUGAUAGGAGUUGCGAAGUCACUUUCCUUGAAUUCAAUAAAAAAACUGGCCACUUGUCCUCUCUAUAAUUCCAAUAUUGUCCUCACAAAUUUCUUUAUGUGUUAAGGAAAAGACCAUAAAUACGUAGAGAUGUUAAAACAGUGUAUCGGCUGAAUAACCAAGCUACUGUUUACUGCAAUAGAACCUUGACAUGACAUAAUUACACGUAUAAAAUUAUUCUUACUAAUAAUAAAGGUUUAAAUAUUGGUCAAGUAAUUUUGGUUGGACCACACUUGACUUUUUACUUAUAAAAAAUUUAGAAUUAUUUGUAAAAAUUAUUUUAUUCAUAACUUUUAAUAUUCAAAAAGCUUGUAAAAUAGUAAAAGAUAAAAUCAGAAAAGCAAAGCAGAGAAGAAACAAUACCAAGAAGAUAGCAACUAGCAAAAUCUUCUAUCCAAAGAGAAUGAAUUUUUGGAGCAAAAACAAAAUUAAAAAAUGGCCAAGUCAAUGCCACAAGUCGUUGCUGAGGUUUCCAAGUAACUUCCCUCGAAACAUGAUAUAUAUAAAUGCAUAUUUCCUAUUUUUUGUCGUUCGGAACAUAGAAUUUUCCUUUAUUUUUAAUCUAUUCUCACUUUGUAAAUUUUGUUUGACCAUUGGCUUUCUGAAUCUAAUCUAACCUCGUAUAAUUUCAUCAUGAGGUUUGUAUAUUAAUAAUGAUCAUUGAAGAAUCUAAAAUUAACAAUUAUCAAGUGGCCACUAAAGAAAAACUAAAAUGAAGUAUACUUUGUGUGAAAAUUUUUACUUUAUUGUUCAGAGUCUAGUCUUCUAGAGAUCAUAUUCUAUCUUGUGUGUGACAGACACCAAUUCUUAAUGCUCUGCACUGAAAACGCAAUAUACAUUUGCUGAAUCGAAAUUUAUAUUCAAAAGGAGAAAUAAUCCAAUUUAAUAAAUUACUAAAAAUGUCAUGAAUUAUAAUUCCUUGUUGCUGAUAUAGAAAGAUUUGUUUAUAGAACAAACUAUGCCCAACAAGUUUAUCCCUUGAUAUAAGUAAUGAGAAAGGAAAGAGGCUUGUGCAUGAUGGGGAUUCAGCUUCUUGCUUAUCAGCCAUUUCAGAUUACUUCAAAAAAUGAAGGGGAACAGAUCAAUUCAUUCUCUUCCAGAAUAUCCUGUUUAUUAUUUCCAUGGUUAUCGGUAUCAUAUCUGUUUAUCAAACCGAUAUAUUAUCCUUCAACAAUUGAUUAUUUAUGUCCUUCAUGAUGGCAGUUUUCCUAUGCCACCUAUUCUGCGUACUGUAAUCAUUCAAACCUCAUCACUCAUCAAAUACUCCCAAAUUCGUUCUUUAAUUUUACAUCGAUUUUAACUUUUAGAUUUGGUGUUGGUAAUGUCACCCAGGUAGCUAGAGGCCGCAUACUGUCAAGGAAACUACCUUGUUACAUUUCCUUCUUCAAUCCUUCAGCAAACAAAUAAAUUUGCUAGCAUAAAUCAAACAAAAAUCAAACUUUAUUAGAUUUAGCAAUACAUCCAAUUUCCAAAUAAAAUAAAACGGAUACAAGAUACCAUCCACUAACAGUGACACAACUCCUGCAAACAAUUCAAAAUAUAUUACAGCAUAACAAUAUUCCUCCCCUUCCCACCCCAUUUAUUUACAAUGUAUCCCAACCGGCCAAUCGGCAGGCAAAGUUGGGUAAGGGGAGUGUUGCUUCCUCGAUUACUUGCAAGUGACGUAUACUUCCACUACACCACAAUCACCAUCUAUUCUCUUGGAUUGGGUUCCGACCAGUGCAUCAAAGUGUAAACUGACAAUGUUGUGAGGCGGAAGCGUAUCUUUUUCUGCCAUCGAAUAAACUUUCCUCCUUUAAAGUGAUCUAACUUGAUAAUGUUGGUAGCUAUCUCUUUAAGUGAAGCCAUUUUGAAUGCUAAGAAAAUAAGUCUUAAAAUUGUUGGUACAAAUGGGGUUUAAAUGGAAUUCAAAAACUAGCAUAAUUGACUUCAAGACAAGCCUUUCAAUAGAAGUUAUAUUUAAAUUUAUUUUGCCCCCACCACUCAGUAUGCAAAAGAGGAAUAAUGCGAAUAGCCUUAGGGAUACAAUGAAAUCAACAUCUAACUUCAUCUUACACUUUAUGAGAGUAGACCGCUAGAUACACCUGAGGAUUUACAAAAUUAUUUGGCUUUAGAGCUUACUUUUUGCAACAAGUAGAUUAUAAGGAAUUUGGACGCUUUUGUAGUUGAUGGGAACUUAAGUGUUUACGUUAAUAGAACAAAAUAUUUUUCUUACUCUUUGAUAUUUCUGCUCUUGUUUUGUUUUUGAUUUGAUGUCUCAAAAUGGUUGGCAACAAGCCCUUCCUAUAGGCUUCCUAUAGGCUUGCAAGUGUCUCUUCUUCAAUGACCCAACCCUUUCAUUAAGGCACCAUUUUGUCUAAAAGACAUCUUUACAUUUUGUUAGACAUAACUUUUGGAUAAAUGUAUUAUUUCAAUAGUCAUCUUAUGAAAAGAUAACUAUUCAUUCUAUAAAAUAUAAUCUUUGAGUUAUAAUUUGUAAUAAUAACAUUCCGUAUUUAACUUUUGAGCUAUGGUGUCUUUUUAAUUUAUCUCAUAACUUUUGAAUGUCAUUUUACUAAGAGACAUAACCAUUCAUAUGAAAACUUGCCUACAAUCCAAUAGACACACUAUGUCACUUUAUGUGACAUAACCUUUGAGCUAAGAUAGCUUUUCAUUAUAUGAUACAAUCUUUGAUUUUGAAAAUGCACCAACAACUUUGACCUUAUAAACAACUCUAAAACCACCUUCCCCUAGCUUGAUGUCCAUAGAAAAGCUAUCAGUAGCACGAGCUACGGUAGCAAGCUCCAAUAUUGGAAGCUCCAUGUCUUCAUCCUGGCCUUGAUUUUCUUGAUCAUUUUCCUUAUUGUCUUUAGUUUCUUUAAAACAGUAGCCAAAAUAGGCUUGGCAUUCACCAUAAAAUAUGAUAGAUUCUUAUGCAUUUUGAUUGAGCUAGAUAAUUGGACAAAAAGCUGAUGUGGUUUUUGAGAUCACACAAAACCAUGUAUCUCCAGUUAUUUGCUUCAUUAACAACUCUAUUUUGACACCGAUAAGCAUUGAAGAAACUGCGUGUUGAUUUGCUAGCAUCAUUACUAACAAAGGAACAAAAUGAGCAUUAUUUGUGAAGGAUAUUUCAAAGUUACGUCUGAACUUUCUGGGGCUUCUAUAAAUGUAAUAACUGACAAUAAACAGCCCCAAAACCACAGCACAGUAGUGUUCCAAUCACUGCAGCAAGCUCCAUCCUGAGCUUAUCUUUCAAUUCUGUAUGACAGAAUUUGAUAAAGAAAAGCAUAUAUGAACAAAAAAAAGUAGUGAAAACAAGAGAAAAUGUAAACUCAUACCUGAUUUUGGAGCAGACACUCUAACAUAUAGGUCCUGCCCUACUGAUUGAAAUUUUCUGUAAUCAAUCAAAUUACCAAACCAAAAGGCGCAUCCCCAAACUCUUCCUCCAUUAUCUGAACUAGUGUAUGCUUGGCUUUCUACAUUCCAUGUGAAGUCCUGUAUCAUCAGUUUGGUUCAGAACAAGUCCUGUGAUCAAUGAUUUCUAUUUGAGACAUUUUGUAUGGUUGAAAUAUAAAAUAGAAAUACCCGGACAUUGAAGAGAUAUUGAAGAGAAUUUGCAGGAAUCAUAACUCCAAAACCACAAAUGCUUUUCAGCUCUGGUAAUUUCAAUAAGGAAAGUUUCCUUAAUUUGGGAAGAAUGAAUGUUAUGCUAACAGCCCUUCCUUCUCCUCUGUUAUUUUCUCCCUCCUCUUCUGAUUCUAUUAUUUGCUCCAUUUUUUCACAAAGCCUGACAUCAAUUUCCUCCAAAUUUUGAAAACACUGCAACAGCUUAAUUGAACACAACUUCUUCAUCCUCGAACAGUUUCUCAAGUAAAAACUUUUGAGAGAAGAGAAAAUGGCAGGUGGUGUUGGGAUCUGAGAUGGAGAUACACAUAGAUUCAUGGUUUUCAUGAAUAAGAUAAAAAUGUUAUGAUCACCAUUUAAACAUAAUAUAUAUAUAUAUUUAGAGUAAUCACACUAAUCAUAUCAAAUUAAACUCAUACUCAUAAUUUGCACGCAACAUCAAAUCACCAAAUCUUAUAUAGAUAAUUUAAACUAUUAAUCUUGUUUAAUUAUAUUUGUAUUCAUCAUUUGAAGGGCUUUGUAAAUUUGUAAAGUAAACAACAAUAAGCAAUAAUUAUGUUUAUUUUCAAUAUCUUGGUACUGAUACAUCACUUCCCAAAUAUGCUUUCCUUUUCUUUUUCAUAUAUAGACAUUGUUUUAUUUGGAGAUUGUAGCUAGCUAGACACCAUUAUUGCCAGUCCAAGAGGUGACACUUUGGAGAUUGAAUAGCAUUUAAUUUUCAGGUGUUUUGGUCUUGAGAUGAGUGGCAACAUUAAUUCUUUUGGAUCUGUUGAAUUAGCUUUUGUAUAUAAAAGAAGGUAUACCUCCUCAAACAUGGAAAAUCCCCUUUCAAACCCAUAAUUUUAAAGAAAGAAAAUCCUAAUUUAAUAGAUUAGUUGCCAACUAAGGACAAGCAUUGUUGAUGUGACAUUUAUUUUGGUAUAUUCUAACACUCGUUGACUAGAUUCAAUUGGAUAGGAUUCUUAAUUUUGAUGAGAUUUAUGGGUAGUGAUUAAACAAUGGAAGUGUUGACAAUGGAGGUUCUAAGUCCCUUGCAUCUAAGAAAGAAAUGAAUUUGUUCAAUUGACACUGCUUUGGUACAUAUAGAAAGUAAGCUAAUACCAUAGCCAUAUUUCUUACGUGACUUCCAACAAAUUUGAGACUUCAGUAUGGCAAAAUAUUGGGUAUUUGAAUAAAUUACAAUACAAAUAGAGAAAGAAAAAAGAAAGAGACUAAAUAGAAAGGGGAAGUGGAAAGAUCCCCAAAAUCAAUUAAUUGUAAGUGGAAGGAGCAAAGCCCAACUUUGUUGGCAACAAAGUCAUGUUCCCACAGAUGAUUUUGUUCUUGUUGCAGAGCGUUGUCAAUAAUAUUUACUUCCAGGCUGUCUUUUGGUAAAUAGAAGCCGAUAAUGGUUCUCUGGAUCAAGCUCAAAUAUAGCUCCAUCUUCAAAAAUGAAUUGCAAAUCCUGACACUGAAGACAAAAUCAAGCCUUGUUAUUGCUUUUAAUAAAAGCAAAUAAAAUUUGAAGGGUGUUCAGCUGGGCAAUUACUAGUUCCCAAGUAACAGUUUUAACUGCUACUUUCCUGUACCAAAUUCCCAAGCAACGAUUCUUAGAGCUUCCAGGACUAAAGAAACCAAGCUCAAGGAUUCCGUCCAUCACUAACAGACUGGGAGGAGGCGGAGAUAUCGAUUCCAUCAGCAAUACUUGAAAACAAUAUUAGUAAAACAGUGUUGGUGAACAUGGAAGACAGAAUGUCCUUUUAAACUUUCAGAGCUUGUAAAACUCAUAGAAAAACUUUUCAGUUUGGCAGAUUUUAGAGAGCAAACAUAUUUAAACUGAUGAUCGUUGACUAGUAUGCAAAUCUUCCUUGAAAAGACCAAACUUUUCAGGUUGCAUAGAAUUCUUAUUUCUAAUUUUUAUGAAGCUUCAGUGCAGUCAUCUUGUAUUGUCUCUGUGAAUCAAAUAUAUAAAUAAAUAUAUAUAUAUAUAUAUAUAUAUAUUACCCACAAAUAGACACUUGCAGGGCGCUAAGCUCAAACUGGGACUAAACCACUGGUAUCAAAGCAUAAGGUACAUGACAUACUGACUGAUAGCCUAUAAUAAUGGCUUGGAGAUAAAAGAGCUAAGUAUACAGUUUAUCAAUUAUCAAGCAUCUAGUACUGACAGAGUUAUUUCAUUUGUGGGAGACGAUACAUUCUUGUCUGAUGAAGAAUCUUAUUCAAGUGGACUUUUCUUAAACAAAACACCAGGUUGUUUGGGGUGUGGCAAUUCAUUUUCGCUUCCCAAUGUCAGAAUCACAAAUGACAUACUUGGCCUAUCCUCUGGAUAUGCUGUUGUAAACUUAAACGACUGAUAAUGGAUGAAUUGUAUCACUUCUGAUAGAUUGCAAAGACUCUCCUAAGCAUUCGUCAACAAGUUUUAAAGGACUGCCUUAUUUACAUAAUCUUCAUGCCUGCAGCAAAUUGAAACCCUUUUAGGUUUUAUCAAUCCAAGAUAGGCAACAAAAAAUUGAUUAUAAAAAUAUCUGCUGAAACUGACAUGUUCAACAAGGUUGCCGCUUUGUGUUGGAUGGUAAAGCCCUCUAUUUUUUCUUCCCACUUAUUAUCUCCAUCAAUAAUAUACCAAAGCUAAAGAGAUCUGAUUUUACUGGAAGCAGUCCAUCAAUAGCAUAUUCCGUGCCAUAUAACCACUGCAGAACAUUAUCAAAAGCAAUAAAUAUAUGAGGGUAUGUAGACAUUAUGAAAAUAAAGUGAAAGUUAGUAAGUUCCAACCACUCUUUUAGCGUUCCCUUCAGUUUGGUCUCCUCCAAAAGUUCUAGCCAGUCCAAAAUCUGAAACUUUUGGAUUCAUCUCACUAUCAAGCAGAACGUUAUUAGUUUUGAGAUCUCUGUGAAUAAAAAAAAAUUAUUCAAAUGAAAUGGCAAAGAAUCUAAUUAACUCGUUUGAAGAAACUUUGGAUUUGCUAGCAUCACCAUUAACAAAGUGUUUUUUUUUUUUUUGUUUAUUUUGCAAAGGACAACUUGGCACGAUCUCUGUAAAGGAAAUGACUGACAGUGAACAACCCCAAAAGCACAACACAGUGUUAAUGCAGGAAGUUUUAUCCUAAGCUUAUCUUUCAAUUCUGUAUGAUGAAAUUUGAUAAAGAAAAGCAUACAUGAACAAAAACAAAAAAAGCAUUGAAAACAAGAGAAAAUGUAGACUCCUACCUGAUUCUGAAGCAGACAUUUUAACAUAUAGAUCCUGCCCUUUUGAUUGAAAUUGUCUGUAAUCAAUCAGAUGAUGAAACCGAAGGGCUCAACCACUACCUAUUCCUCUGUUAUCUGAACUAGUGUAUGCCAUAUAGGAAUAGUUCUACAGAUACUUAGCCCUGCGUCCCUUAAAAUUCAUACUUUUAGUUACCCAAGAAUGUGUAGCAUCUUGCAUUUUCAAAUCUUUUAAAUCUGACAAAUCCAUCUCUACUUUGGCAGUUGAAUGGCUUAUUGUGCUUACACCUUUGGGACCAGUCUGAUGAGUUCUAUCUUUCGGGAAAUUCAGGCUUAAACAUCAGCUUUCAGGGAAUUAAGGCUUGAAUCCUUUAAAAAGUGCAAGCUGAGCACCAUCACGAUUCCUUUUUGAACCACAAAGUCCAUAUCUGUCACAGUAGUCUCUUGGAGCAAAUGAGAAAAGCAUCCAAGCUUGCUUUCUGCAUUUCAUGUGUAGUCCUGUGAUCAAUGAUUUCUAUUUGAGACGCUUUGGAUGGUUGACAUAUAUAAUAGAAAUACCAGGUGGGUAGAUCAUGCAUUGUUUUCAUAAGAUGAUGUGAUUGAGUGACUUUUGAUGAAUGCAGAAUACACAAAGUGCAGCAGAAAACAAAUUAUAAACAUUGAGGUCCCAGAUAAUUUGUAUUUUUCAAUAAUAUGCAGCUUGUUCCUCUAAUCAUUCUCUUGAGUGGACAAACAUAACUUCAAUGACUUACUUGUAUUAAAUGAUUUCCAAUUCAUGAACCAGUUGAGACCAGUGUGGAUGCGUUUUCUCACAUCUGAUAGGUUGCAGGACAGUCCUAAGAAUUCACCACCGAGUUCAACAGGGGUGCCUUCCUCUCAUAAUCUCCAUGCCUGCAGCAAAUUGAAAACCUUUUAGUCAUUUUAUUAAAGUAUUUUAAUUCAUAAUAAUUAAAGUAUUUUAUUUAAGUGUUAAAGUUCUAUUUAUAGUAGUAGUAAUUAUUAUUAUUAUUAUUAUUAUUAUUAUGAGUGUGUGUGUGUGUCUUUUUUUGUUUUAAAAUUUGAAAAAAAAAAUUAAAACCAAAUUUGAAAAAUGUGAGUGAAAAUGAAAAUAAAGGAAAGGGGUAGGACGUGUCAGAUAGCAAUUGGCUGAGAUAUGCAGAUUGAAGGGUGUUUAGUUGGAGAUUUUUCUAUCAUUCAUAAAAUUAAAGACUUGGUUUUAUGUUUAUAUUAAAAAAGAGAAAUUAUUUAGCAAAUGAGAAAUUAAGAGAUAAAAAUAUUUAGCAAAUGAGAAAGAGAUGAAAAUAAACUCACAAUUAAUGUUUGCUGUUUUUAAUAAGAAGCAAGAGCCUUGCACCCUCAUUUAAUCAAACACCUCUUCUCCAUCUCAUUCUACCAAUACUGAACAAAGGGAGAAAGGACAUCCUUAGCAUCAGGCUGAUCCCAUUCCACUGAUUCCCACCAUUCUCUCGGGCUUACUAUGAUUCGUUUUAGAAAAGGAGGAGGCAAUGGUUUCCCAUUUUCAACAAGGGGAAGAGACAAUGGGAUCCUCUUUACUUCUGGACAAUCGAAUAAUGUGACAUGUUGGAGAGAAUCUACAGGAAUCACAAGUCCACCACGGCAUAUGCUUUUCAAUUUUGGUAAUUCUUCCAAGACUAAUGAUUUUAAUUUGGGAAGAAUAAAUGUUGUUCCUUCUCGUUCCUGAUUUUCUUCUGAUGCUAUUAUUUCCUCCAUUUCAUAACAAUUUCCAACUAUAAUUUCCUCUAAGUUUUGGAGGCUUUGCAACAGCUCAACUGGAUACAACUUCUUAAUCUCGUAACAAGAAUACAGUUUCAGUGUUUUAAGAGAAGAGAAGAAGGCAGGUGGUGUUGGAGCAUGAGAGGUAGAUUCAAUUUCUGCUGCUACUCCUACUCUCACAACUUCACGCAAGUUCCACAAUGACUCAAGCCAUAGCUCCUCAACGUUGUGAAGUGCGUUGCAAGACCAUGAUGACAAGUCAACCACACACUCUAUCCCUUCACACCUCCGAAUUCUACAUUUCUUCAAGUCAGUUGCCUUACGAAACAAAGGAAUAUGGCUUAAACAUUUGAAAUCAUUACACCCCUCAAUACGUAAAGUAUGAAGGUCAUUUGGGAGCACUACAUCGUCACACCUUUCUAUCUCCAAAUUUGUGAAUUCAACAUUUUUCUCAAUUUCGUUGAAAUCUGGGGAAUACCCAAUAUAAAUAUUCACAUCUGGUCCCACUUGAAAAUCGAAAGAUGUAGGCCAUUUACCUUGUGUAGACUCUGCAUAUUUCUUAAACUCUUGCAUGUCGCAAAAUGAACAUGAAACACACUCAAGCUUCCUCAAUUUGCCUACUUCUUCCCCCCUUAAAUGUAACUCCACCAGUAAGCAUUGCAGAUGAGAAAUCUUCACUAAUAUUCCCAUUGGUAGCUCCUUUAGAUGCGUUGACCCUAGACGAAAAUAUCUAAGGUUUUGUAACAUUUCUAUACCAUGAGGAAACUCCUCAAUGCUUGUACUAAAAAGGUCCAACUUUCUCAGUGCUCUGAGCUCUGCUAAUGAAGGCACAUAUUUUAACAUGUGACAAUUAGCAAGUAUCAAUGCAUUGAGAUUUUUCAACUUAGAGAUGGAAUUGGGUAGAUUCUCAAUCUCAUAAUUACCAGAAAGAUUUAGAACUUUUAGCCCAAGCAUGUGCUCAAAGAAAGAUUCUGAAAUCCUUUUUAAGUCACAAUAUUGCAAUAUCAAAGUUGACAAAUGAGGACAUUCAGGUGAUAUGUGAGCAGGGAUUUCUAUUAAUUUUGAAUUUCGCAUCAAAGAAACCUUCUCAACACUCGUUGUCCAUUCUUGCUCACUUGGUAGUUCCUCCAACUGCACAUUGGCUUUUACCAUGAACUGAUGACCUUUAAUAUACAAUGCCAGGUCUCUCAAAACAUCAUGCAUCUUAACUCCUCUUUCAUCCAAAUAAGUUUCAUCCCUCUCUAACAAGCAAUUAUUUUCAAGCUUAUUUAAAAUGCUAUGGCCUCUGUCAUGCAUUUCUUUUCUAGUCCUCAAGCCAUCAAGGAGUCCUUCAUCUAUCCAGUUUUCAAUUAAUUCAACUUUUUCAAUCACAAAAUCUUCAGGAUACAAGGAGCAAUAUAAGAAACAAUUUUGAAUUUUUGGAUCUUUCAAAUGGUCAUAACUGAACCUCAAACGCUCAAAUAUUUCAACAUCUGAUCCUUUCACACUUUUCACAUGCUCUUCUAAUUCAGUUAAUGCAUUUCUCCACUCACAAAUAUCAUUUACCCCCUUCAUGCUUUCAGCUAUUGUGACAAUGCUAAGUGGUAAACCGCCACAGUGCUCAACAAUUUUGUUGACAAUGUCUUUUAAAUUUUGAUCUUGUACAACACUAUGCCCCACAUGAUCUAAGAAUAAGUUCAUGGACUCUGUCUUUGAAAGUGGUUGCACUUUGACCACCUUACAAUCCAUAGAUUGACAAACCUCAAUCGAUCUACUAGUGAGUACAACUUUCCUCUCCAUGCCUAGUAUUGGUUCAGGGAUUCCCACAUCCAAUAAAGAAAAUCGUUUCCAAACAUCAUCUAAAAUUAACACAUAUCUUUUUCUCUCCAAAACAUCCUUUAUUGUUGUUGCUUGUUGCAAUUUAUUUUUAGGAAGAGAUUGUUUAAGAGAAUCUGCGAUAUCUUCUUGCAAUUUGAAAAUAUUCAAAUUUUUUGAUACAGUGACCCAUAUCACUUUAUCAAACUUCUCACUUUCCUUUAACAAUUGAUUAUUGAUAUGCUUCAUGAUGGUAGUUUUCCCUAUACCACCCAUUCCACAUAUUCCAAUCAUUCCAACCUUAUCACCCAUCAAAUACUUCCAAAUUUGCUCUAUUACAUCAAUUUCACCUUUUAUAUUUGGUGUUGGUAAUGUCACCCCAGCGGUUGGAGGCCCAUCAACUGCCACACCGUUAGGGAAACUACCUUGUUGGUGAAUUUCCUUUACCUCUUCAAUCUUUCGACAAACAAAUUUUCCAAAAUGACCACGUAAGAAGUAUGAAACAACACGGAACUUGGUUUCAAUCUUUUCCAUUUCAGUGUUUACCUUUUCUACAUCUUUAAACCAAUUCUCCACUUCUUUCUUCACCACUUUUCCAUGACGAAGCUCCGCUUCCUUUUUUAAUACGAGGUCUUCCUUUUGAUCAUUUAGAUCAUUCACUUUUCUUCGAAGAUCAUUCAUAUGUUCUUCAAGUUUCGGGUGAUGAUCUAUGUAUGUACAGAUUGGACCACCAAAGCACUUUAUUGCUUCAAAAAUUGGCCCUAUAAGCUCCAUAUAAGCUAUUCCCUGUAGUUUAAUAAACCAAGAUAUAUUAUAUCUCCAUAUGACAUAAGCUACUCCCUCUUUAUACUAAAAUUCUAUAUUUUCCAUAUAAUAUAGAAUAUGUUAGAAAAAAAUGUUACUAAAUAAAAGAUUUUUACCAAUUCUUCUUAAGAAAAAACAUAAUAUUUUUGAAAACAAUAUAAGAAAAAAGAUGUUUUUGUUUCCAUCAUGUUUGAGUAUAAUAUUUACAUUUCCAACACUGUUUAUAUCUAAAUGAAUGUAUUCAUUUUGCCCCUUAAAGAACCAUCGCAAAUUCUUGAAUAUAUCAUAUCUAUAUGGUUCCUAGUUUUGAUCAUUACAACAAUAAUAAAAGGAUGGUGAGAAUGGAGAAGUCAAUCUACUAUAAAUAUAUAAAUAACAAAAUUUUGAUAAAAGAAGGAAACGAUUUAAAAUUGAUAACUUCCUCUUCUAACACAUACACAUAUUAAAUAAAUGUUAUAUAUUUAUUAAUCAAUGCAAAAUUUUAAUUUUCAUAUUGAAAGACUAAAUUUACUAAAUUUGAUUAUCCAUUUUACACAUUUAAUAAAAAUUUAAGUUAGAAUAUGUAAGAAUAUCUAAUUGUUAGCGUUAAUAACUGUAGAAAUUACCAUUUAAUGUUGAAAAUGGAUAUUUUGACAAAAAAAAAUACAGGUAUAAUGCUAAAAAAACCCUUGAAUUAUUUACGAAAAUUUAAAAAAAAUUAUUCUUUUAUUAUGUUCAACCAUGCCCUUAUGCUUUUAUUUAAUUUAUAUUAAAUAAGCCUUUAUAACUAAUAGUUGAUUAAUUGUUAUUAAUCAAAAUAUCUCUCGUCAUUUUAUACUCACGUGGUGUUGAUGUGGCGUUGAUGUGUGGAGUAAAGAAUGAGAUAUGAUUAUGUCAUCAUACCACAUCAACAAGCUUUAAAAUAUCUUAAACAAUAAUUACAAGAAUAAACUGAGAAUGCAGAAUGACAUUAAAAAUACAUAAUUUCUUCUACAAAUUAUUUGGAAAGACGAAGAGCAGAGGUUAAGUUGACCAGUCAAUAAUUAAUUCCUUGGCUCCUUGUUAGGUACUACUCCUAUCUUGAGAGGACGUUGGUUAAAUAUGGGGAGAAAGGGACUGUCAAAAAAAAAUUAUCGGGAGAAAGGGAAGAUUAAUAUAUAAUUAUUCAUAAACAGUUGUUUUUAUACUAGAGCUAGAAUAUUUCCUUAUAUUGGAGGUUUAUUAUAAAAUAAAUCAGGGCUAGUACAACUAAUCUAUUUAAACUUAACGGCCAUUUUUUCUUUUGAUGGGAAAAAUAAAAACAAAGAGAAUUUCACAAACAUCUCAUAUAAGAUUAAUAAAUGUCAUAUAUUUGUAUUAAAUAAAUGUCAGGUAUCAAUGUAAAGUUUUAAUUUUGAUAUUCAAAGACUAAAUUUAGUACAUUUGAUUAUUUUCAUAUAUUCAGUUUACACAUUUAAUACAAAUUUAAAUUAGAUAAUUAGGUAAGAAUUUCUAAUUGUUAGCCUAAAUGAAUAUUGAAAUGACCACUUAAUGUUAAAAAUGGAUAUUUUCAUGCAAAAGCAUAUAUUUGAUAGCAUAACUCAAACAAAAGAAAAACUUUAUACUAUUAAAAUUUGCACUGAUUCCAUUUCGUUCUUUUCUAAUUGUUUCAUAAUGCUUGUAUUGUCUAUUAUUUCUAUUAAUUUUUUUUAACAAUUACUCCUAAUUUGAAUUUUCAGUACUUAUUACUAAUAUAAUAGUUAGUCAACAAUUUACAGUCAAAAUUUACCUUAUAUAAUUACUUAUUGCUUUACCUUACAAAUAUGAGAUGUUGGUACAUUUUUGUUAGAGACUAUAGUUGCUUAGGUUAUUUUAAUCCUUUUUUUCCCAUAUAUUUUGUCUACUAAUAUUUAGUUUUAUGGUUCCCUAGUCUCAAUUCCAUCAUCAAAAGUUUGAUUUCUUCUUUUUGUAUGCCUCUUUGAAUUAUUCAAUUCGAUCUUUAUAUAUAUUUUGACCUCUUUGAUUUAUUAUUAUUUGGUAAUUAUGUAUUUCGAAGUCCUUGCUGAAUUAUUCAAUUUCUUUAUUUUUUUAGUAAAUUGUUUUACUAUGCUCAUAUUUGUAAAUUUUCAUCAAAAUCAAUUACUCUUCCAACUAUCAAGAUCUUUAAGACAUUAUUGAUCAACAUGCAUAAUUCCAAUUUUUUUUUUUGGCAAUUUUUUAAUGUUCUUAUUUAGAUUCUAAAUUAAAAGAAUUAUUGUAAAUAACAUCAUCACCCUUGUACUGAACUGACUAAAUAUAGUUUUGAAUAAUAAUAAACAUCAUCUAGGCCAAAAAUAAUAAUAAAAUAUUAAACAUCAAUGACCAAAGAAAUAUUAAGCAUUUUGAAUAUUCGUAAAGAUUUUCAAUUGAGUCUCCUUGAUGAAUUAUUCAAUUUCUUUAUUUUUUAAGUAAAUUGUUUUACUUUAUUCGUAUUUGUAAAUUUUCAUUAAAAUCAUUUAUUCUUCUAAUUAUCAAGAUCUUUACGACGUUGUUCAUUGCAUGGGAAAAUUUUCAUUAAAAUCAUAUAUUUUAUGUUGUUAUCAAUAUUCCUAACUAAAAAGUAUAUAUUGUAAAUAAAAUCCUCAACCUCGCAUUGCACGGGCUAAAUCUAGUUUUCAAUAACAUCACCUAAAAUAAUAAUAAUAAUAAUAAACAUCAAACAACCAAGCAAAUAUUAAUCAUUUUGAAUAGUGUAAUCUAUCCAUACGUAAGGAAUAGUAUAUCUUUUCGAUAAUUAGAACAAGAAAGCUUGUGAAAACAACAAUAUAUCUCAAAAAAGACAUUUGAAAAAUACUUGCCAGAAUAAACAGAGAAUGACAUACAAAACACCUGGUUUCUUCUUCAAAUUAUUUGGAAAGAUGAAGCCCAAAGGUCAAUUAAAAUGAUCCACAAACCUCCCUGACUCUUUGUUCAGCACAAACUUCUUAGGCAGAAGAAACAAAUUGACAUAAAAUUAACAAGGAAAAUUAUUUUAAUAAAAAUGAAAAUUUUAUGUGCUAAAAUUUUCAGAAUCAUUCAUUUUCAGUUUUCACUAACUAUAAUUAAUUUUCACCUAAUUAAGUGAAAAAAAGCAUGACACAGACCAAUAAACAAAAUAAUUAUGUGGAAGGAAAGAUGAUGAAUCUGUGUUAUAAAUCUAAAAUAUGAACCCAUAUCUAUACUAAACAGUUUAAUUUACCUAGUCAAAUGAGGCAGAUGAGCUGAUACUUCUAUCCUCAAGGAUUCUUGCUUAAGUUUGCAAAAGUAGAUCUCCUUGCAAAAAAUUGUCAAGAAAAUAGCAACAAGCAGAUCUCCUUCCGAAAAUAUCCUCUAUGAAGGAAAAUGAAUAAUGAAGCACAUGAGUUAUUGAAAAGUGGGAAAGAUUAAUAUUUAUGUAAGAAACUGAAAUAAAUGCCCAACUUGUGUCUUAAUAUUGACAUGGAACUUAUAAUAAGAUGAAUUUAUGUUAUAAUUUAAGAUUCUGAUUAAUUAAUGUUAUCAAAGAUAAAACUAAAUCAUAAGUACACACAACUUAAUUCAGUAAGGCAGUGAAGUGAUAUUUCUAUCCUGAAAAGACCCUCAAUUAAUUGGAGAAACAAGUGCAGUCAAGAAAAAUAGCAGCAACAAAUAGAUUAUCUCCUUGCAAAAAAGAAAUCCCCAAUCCUAUGAGAGAAGAGAAUCAAUGGAUUAUGAAGAAAAAAAAUUAAAGUCGGCAGCACCCAAUCAAUUGACUCUUUGGUUGAUGCAUGAUUCUUUUUUAUCUAAAGAGUAGGCUUUAAAUCCCUCUUUCCCCAAUUAAAAAGAAAGAAUAAAAAUCAGAAAAUAUAAAGAAAAUGAAUUAUGAAAAACAUGAACUAUUGAAAAGUGGGCAAGAUGAAUAUUUGUACGGAUCUUAUGUUAAGAUGGGUUUGUGUUAUAAGGUAAGUUUCUGAUUAAUUAAUGUUACCAAAGAUGAAAGCAAAUAAUAAGCAUAGACAGUUUACCUGGGUCAGUGAGGCAGUGAAUUAAUUGAUACUUCUAUCCUCAAAAGGUCUUUAUUAAUUUUCGGAAACAAGCAUGUGGAAGAAAAAUAAACAGCAACAAGCAGAUGAUCUCCUUGCCAAAUUAAAAGAAAAUCCUAAACUUAAUCUUCCGUGAGAGGAAAAUUAAUGAAUUAUGAAGCAAAUAAGAGUUAAAAGUCAAUCCAAAGUCGUCGCACUAGUUGUGAAGUCACUUUCCUCGGAGCUGUUUCACAAUAAUGCAAAUGUGAAUAGAAGAAAAACUGGCAAAGUAGGACAGAAUUAUGGGGCCACUUAUCCUACUCUCCUUCAUUAUUUGAAAAGAUAAAUUGUUGAAGAAUAGCCCUCAAUUGGGGUAUUUCCAUUCCAUCAUCCGCUGUUUAAAUCAGAAAAAAAGAAGCAGCAAAGCAAAGCCAAGGUAAGAUGAUAGCAGCUAGGAAAAUCUCUUGUCCAAAUAUUAAUAUAUAUCUUUCGUGCCAAGAGAUAAUAAAUUAUGAGAAAAAAUAAUUAAUAGUCGUUGGGAAAGGUGAGUCAAUGCAGCAAGUCAUCGUUAAAAUUAAAUUAUGGGAAAAAAAAUAAUAGUAGGUGAGACAAUGCUGUAAGUCAUUGCUAACAUUGCUAACGUUUGCACCAAACUUUAAAUUAUGGGGAAAAAAUUAAUUAAUAGUCAAUGAGUCAAUGCUGCAAGUCGUUGCUAACAUUCCGAACGUUUGAACCAAACUUUAAAUUAUGGGGAAAAAAAUAAUUAAUAGUCAAUGAGUCAAUGCUAAAAUAUUGCUAACAUUUGUACAAAACUUUAAAUUAUGAGAAAAAAAUAAUUAAUAGAUAGUGAGUCAAUGCUAACAAUAUUGCUAACAUAUGUACAAAUCUUAUAUAAAUCUUAAUAAUUAUUAUAUGAAUCUUCUAUAAAGCCGAUUGACUUGAGAAAAGAUAAACAGGGAAAGUAAGGUUAUCCUCGAAUUUUUUCUUUUUAUUAACAUAUGACAAGUUCCCAGGCAAAAGCGAAAAUUCAAAUUAUUUCUAUAAUGAAGGGCUAAUUAACACCUUAUUAAUUGUUAAUUAAGUCUCCUUAAAACUACUCAUUCAGAUAAAUCAUAAUGUUUUUCCUUUUGAUAUAUAUAAAAAAGCUGUUCUAACUAUAUGAAUUUGUUCGAUCAUUGAUUUUCUCAAUCAAUCAGUUAGAGUUGAGCAGCAGAUAAUGUUUUAAGAAGUUGACGUGAAUAAAAUAUUGUGAGACAAUGAGCAGAGGGAAUGAGUAAACAAAUAUAUUACUCGACUCUAUAACAAAGAGUAGGAACUUCAAAUGUCAAUCUAUGAUUUAAUUAUCGGAUUAAUAUGUGCUACUAACACAAUCAAUGGUCCUGAAUAUCAAGAGUUGUUUGUUAUUAACACUACUCUGAAUUAGUAUUUGUAAUGUUUUUCCUUUAUUCUUAAUCAAUUCUAGAUAUGGAAAUUUGUUUGACCGUUGGCUUUCUGAAUCUAUCAGGAAUUGAAUAGACAAGGUGUUGUUAUAGGAAAGUUCAUGCAAUUGAAUACAUAAAGUGUGAAGUAAUGAGCAGCCAUUUUUAAUUAUUGAUUAAGUUGCUGCAGUUCUGAAACUCGUGAUUAUGAUGAGAUGUAAAUUUGAUGAAGUUAUUAUAACCCAAGAUUAAUUUAAUCAGCUAUCAAUGUCAAAGAACUUCACUUUCCUAGCUCAUAAACCGUGAACAGCCAUUUUUAAAUCUUGCUUGCAGUGUGUACAGAUCAUAUAUCUCAGAUGAUAGAGUUCGGCAGGAAAUCAAUCGAAUGAUUGGGCUAAAGCCAAGAUCUUCCAUGCUGAUAAGAAUAAAUGUAUCUGAUUGAGAGAAACUGAAUAUGCCUACUCCAUAAAAACAAUGAAUCAAAAUAUUAUUAUGCCUGUAAAUAUUUUUAUGGUACAUUAAAGGCAAAGAACUUGACAUGGGACAGGCAACAAGAUCGUCGAUAACAUCAUCAAUGAUUACAUUCGAGCCUUCUAUUAAGUUUAUGUAACAAAUACAAAUAAGUAAUGGCUUAUCAUGCAUUCUUAUUUUUGUUAUGAUAUGAGCAUUAAACGACUCUUCCUCAAUGAAACAUCUGAAAGAGUGUAGGAUAAAAGAAAUCAAAACAAUUUACAACUGAUGAAGUUUCAGUCCAGUCAUCUUGUUAAUGUCUCUGUGAGACAAAUAUACCGCAAGUAGGCACUUGCAGGGUGCUAUGCUCAAAUUGGGACUAAACUACCGGUAUCAAAGCCUAAGGUACAAAACAUACUGCUCAAUAGCAUAUAAUAAUAAUGACUUGGAGAUGAAAGAGUUAAGUAUACAGUUAAUCAAUUAUCGAGCAUCUAGUACUGACAGGGUCAUUUCAUUUGUCGAAGAAGAUACAUGAUUGUCUGAUGAAGAACCUUCUUCAUGAAGUGGUCUUUUCAGCAAUAGAAAACUACGUUGUAUGGGUGUGGCAAUUUAGUUUCACUUCCCAACAUCAGAAUCACAGAUGACAUACUUGGCCUAUCCUCAGGAUGCUGUUGUACACUUAAAAGACUAAUAUGGAUGCAUUGUAUCACUUCUAAUAGGUUGCAAGACUCUUCUAAGCAUUCUUCAACAAGUUCUGAAGGGUGCCUUAUUUCCAUAAUCUCCAUGCCUGCAACAAAUUGAAACCCUUUUAGGUUUUAUCAGACCAAGAUAAGCAACUAAAAUUUGAUUAUAAUCCCUGCUUAAAGAGCAGGGUUCAAAUCCCCCUUCCCCCAAGUCCAAAAAAAAAAAAUCGGCUGAAACUGACAUGCUCAACAAGGUUGGCGCUCUGAGUUGGAUGGUAAAGGCCUCUAUCUUUCUUCCCACUUAAUAUCUCCAGCAGUAAUAUACCAGAGCUAAAGACAAUUGAUUUUGCUGAAAAUAGUCCAUCAAUAGCAUAUUCUGGUGCCAUAUAACCACUGCAGAACAUCAUUUAAAGCAAUAAAUAUAUGAGGAUUUUUAGACAUUAUGAAAUAAAGUGACACUUACUAAGUUCCAGCCACUCUUUUAGCAUUCCCUUCAGUUUGGUCUCCUCCAAAAGUUCUAGCCGAGCCAAAAUCUGAAAAUUUUGGAUUCAUCUCACUAUCAAGCAGGACGUUACUACCUUUAAGAUCUCUAAAUAAUCCUCAAUCCUGAAUCUUGAUGAAGAUAGAGUAGUCCCCUAGCAUUGUCACAGAUAAUUCCCAAACUCUUGGACCAAUUCAGUCCUUUACUUCUUGUUUGAUCUGGCAAUUGGUAGGUAUUCUCUUCAUGUCAGUCCAAUAUCAUUUUUGAUCUUUGGAAGCAGCAAACUGCACCAUGUGUAAAAUGUAUGAAAUAUUUAUAAUAAGAGAAACAAUAAACCAAACCAAAUUGACAGGUUUUCAAUGAUUCAGACCACAAAUGAAUGAGUGAAGGCUUCUGUUAAGCAUGUACUCAUAAACCAGCAGUCUUUACUUUCUGUGAAUGCACCACCCAAGAAGCCUUACAAGAUUCUGAUGUUGAAGUUUGGCAAUCAAUUUUACUUCAUUUUUAAACUCUUUCAAUCUUGUCCAGAACUUUUUGAAAGCCUCUUCACAGCAAUUUCUUGUCCGUUUGCUAGUGUCCCCUGGAAAACUACACUUUAGAUUGAGCUUCAAUAAUAAAGAUAAAUUCUCUGUACUUAAGGUAACUUCAAUUAUAUGAUGCAACUUUUACCUUAUAAACAGUUCCAAAACCACCUUCCCUUACCUUGAUGUCCACAGAAAAGCUAUCAGCAGCACGAGCUAUGGUAUGAGGCUCAAAUAUUGGAAGCUCCAUGUCUUCAUCUUGGCCUUGAUUUUCUUGAUCAUUUUCCUUAUUGUCUUUUGUUUCUCUGAAACAGUAGCCAAAAUAGGCUUGGCAAUCACCAUAAAAUAUGAUAGAUUCUUAUGCAUUUUGAUUGAGCUAGAUAAUUGGACAAAAAGCUGAUGUGGUUUUUGAGAUCACACAAGACCAUGCAUCUCCAGUCAUUUGCUUCAUUAAAAACUCUAUUUUCACACUGAUAAGCAUUGAAGAAACUGCAUGUUGAUUUGCUAGCAUCACUAUUAACAAAGUAAUUUUUAACAAAGGAACAAAAUGAGCAUUUUUGUGAAGGAUAUAUCAAAGUUACCUUUCAACUUUCUGGGGCUUCUGUAAAUGUAAUAACUGACAAUAAACAGCCCCGAAAGCACAGGACAGUAGUGUUCUAAUCACUGCAGCAAGCUCCAUCCUAAGCUUAUCUUUCAAUUCUGUAUGACGGAAUUUGAUAAAGAAAAGCAUAUAUGAACAAAAAAAAGUAAUGAAAACAAGAGAAAAUGUACACUCAUACCUGAUUUUGAAGCAGACAUUCUAACAUAUAGAUCCUGCCCUACUGAUUGAAACUGUUUGUAAUCAAUCAAAUUAUCAAACCAAAAGGCGCAACCACAACCUCUUCCUCCAUUAUCUGAACUAGUGUAUGCUUGGCUUUCUGCAUUCCAUGUGAAGUCUUGUAUCAUCAGUUUGGUUGAGAACAAGUCCUGUGAUCAAUGAUUUCUAUUUGAGACAUUUUGUAUGGUUGAAAUAUCAAAUAGAAAUACCAGGCUGAUAGAUCAUGCAUUCUUUUAUAGGAUGAUGUGAUUGACUGACUCUUCAUCAAUGAACUAUACACAAAGUGCAGUAGAAAACAAGUAACAAACAUUUAGAUUUAUGAUAACUUGUCAAUAUGGGGGGCUAAACUUCUUUGAUAAAAAUUCGAAGUUUAUUUCAUGAUGUCCUGAGCUUAGCUAGGCAUCUUUCUAAACGCUCAAAAAGCGUUUUAUAGCUAAUGGACAGAUUAGUGAUCUGAAGAGGUAGUAAUCUUGUUUUUAAUCUUUAGCCAGGGCCUUUUGGCUAGCUGCUCACUCACUUUCAAAGAAGUGCUUCUAAACAUUUAUGAGAAAUAGGGGAUGCUCUGUUUGUAAUUGCAGGGUAAAGACAAAUUUUUAAUUAGUGGUUUGUCAUGACCAGUAAUAUCUCUCCAAUACCUAUGUUGAGAAGAGAGAAAAAUAAAAUGGCUAAGAGCAAUGUUAUACAUGAAAUGGGUUUACAUAGACAUUGAGUUUCAAAGGAGCCGUAGCUGGUACUGUUAUAAAGUUUGGACUGAGAAGGAGAAAGUUUUAUGCAUCAUUUUGUGGAUGAAUGAGGUAAGAAGAUUUAGUACAUAAAAAGGUAUUCGAUUGGGGAUUUUACCGCCAUACAUAAAAUUAAAAACCUUAUUUUCUUUUUUAUAAAAAGAAGAGCAAUUAUAUACCAAAUGAGAAAGAGAUAAAUGAAUAAAAAUAAAAACAGAAUGUUUGCAAUUUUAACAAGAAGCAAGAGGGCACUGUACCAUUGAGGGCCGUGGAGCCACAUUUAAUCGAAUAGCUCUUCUCCAUCUCAUUCUAAUUAUAUGUAACAAAGGGAGAAAGGACAUCCUUAGCAUCAGGCUGAUUCCAUUUCUUCUCCUUUGUGAUUUUCUUCCGAUGCUAUUAUUUCCUCCAUUUCUUCACAACUGCUAACACUAAUUUCCUCUAAGUUUUGGAGGCUCUUCAACAGCUCAACUGGAAACAACUUCUUAAUCUUCGAACAUCUACACAUAUCUAAUAUUUUAAGAGAAGAGAAGAUGGUAGGUGGUGUUGGAGCAUCAGAGUAAUUCUUUAGCAAAUGAGAAAGAGAUGAAAAUAAACUCACAAUUAAUGUUUGCAGUUCUUAAUAAGAAGCAAGAGCCUUACAGCCACAAUUAAUCAAACACCAAUUCUCCAUCUCAUUCUACCAAUAUUGAACAAAGGGAGAAAGGACCUCCUUAGCAUCAGGCUGAUCCCAUUCCACUGAUUCCCACCAUUCUCUCGGGCUUACUGUCAUUUUUGGUAGAGAAGGAGGAGGAGAUGGUUUCCCAUUUUCAACAAGGGGAAGAGACAAAGGGAUCCUCUUAACUUCUGGACAUUCAACUAUAUGAAGAAAUUGGAGAGAAUCUGCAGGAAUCAUAAGUCCACCGCUGCAAAUGCUUUUCAAUUUUGGUAAUUCUUCCAAGACUAAUGAUUUUAAUUUGGGAAGAAUAAAUGUUGUUCCUUCUCCUUUGUGAUUUUCUUCUGAUGCUAUUAUUUCCUCCAUUUCAUCACAAUAUCUAACAUCAAUAUUCUCUAAGUUUGGGAGGCCUUGCAACUGCUCAACUGGAAACAACUUCUUCACCCUCGAACAAAAACUGAUAUCUAAUUUUUUAAGAGAAGAGAAGAUGGCAGGUGGUGUUGGAGAAUGAGAGGUAGAUUCAAUUUCAACUGCUACUCCUACUCUCACAACUUCACGCAAGUUUUUCAACAAAAAUAGGCGUAACUCCUCAAUGUUGUCAAGUGCGUCACAAGACGAUAAUGACAAGUCAACCACACACUCCAUCCCUUUACACUGCCAAAUUCGAC
Molecule: long non-coding RNA, 67868 nt
Filed under: Theobroma cacao (cacao)
Lineage: Eukaryota; Viridiplantae; Streptophyta; Magnoliopsida; Malvales; Malvaceae
Description: long non-coding RNA (TCAC_LNC004219)
Source: RNAcentral